UGAUAGCUGAGUAAUAUUCCAUUGUGUAGAUGUACCACAUUUUCUGUAUCCAUUCCUCUGUUGAAGGGCAUCUGGGUUCUUUCCAGCUUCUGGCUAUUAUAAAUAAGGCUGCGAUGAACAUAGUGGAGCACGUGUCUUUUUUAUAUGUUGGGGCAUCUUUUGGGUAUAUGCCCAAGAGAGGUAUAGCUGGAUCCUCAGGCAGUUCAAUGUCCAAUUUUCUGAGGAACCUCCAGACUGAUUUCCAGAAUGGUUGUACCAGUCUGCAACCCCACCAACAAUGGAGGAGUGUUCCUCUUUCUCCGCAUCCUCGCCAGCAUUUGCUGUCACCUGAGUUUUUGAUCUUAGCCAUUCUCACUGGUGUGAGGUGAAAUCUCAUGGUUGUUUUGAUUUGCAUUGGGGAGCAGAUUUCUUAAAACCACAGAUAGAACCUUUUUCGCUCUAUAAAGGACCCAGCGUGUAAUAGUUCCUAUAACUAAGAUUAUAACAUAAGGGCAGAAAAAUCUGUAAGUAUUCUUUUGAAAACUUAGUUAUUUAAAUGAGUGUGUGUGUGUGUGUGUGUAUACAUGUGUGUGUAUAUGUGUCCUUAUGCCUGUGUAUGUGUCACUGUGGACACUCACAUGCCGUGAAGCAUGUGUACAUGCCAGAAGACAACUUUCAGAAGUCAAUUUUCUCAUUUGUAUCUUCUUGAGGCAGAGUCUCUCUGUUUACUGCUAUGCUACACACUCCCGAGUUGUCCUGAGAACAUCUGAGCAAUUUUUCCAUGUUUAACCUUCCCUCUCACCAUGGGGAUGCUAGCACUGCUGGUGUGAGCCUUCACAGUUGAUUGUUUUUCGGUAGGUUUUACAGACUAAUGGGUCCUUUUAAAAAUUUCCCCACUGUUACCUAAGAUGAGAUAUUAGAUAAACUACUAUUUGGAUAUGCUAAUGUAUUCCUUAACUUCUAGUCUGGAUGAGUGUUAUUUACUAUUGUUGUUUAAAAAAUAAAUUGAUCUUAGAUGGCCCAGUGAUUAAGAGAAUUGGCUGCUCUUUCAGAUACCAGUACCAACAGAGCAGGUCACAACUGUCUAUAACUCCAGUGCCUGGGAAACUGACACCUUCCUCUGGCCAUUGGCAGCCACCAGAUACUCAUGUGGUAUAAUGCAUGCAUGCAAGCAAAAUACCCAAAGAGAUAAAAUAAAAAAGCAUAUAAAUGUCUUUUUAAAUGAUAUUCUUCAAAACGUGGAUUUAAAAAGAAUAAGAGAAUCAAAACAAUGUAUCUAAUAGGUUAUUAAAUUUCUAUUGGGUUUUAAAGGCCAAUUAACAGGAGAAAGUGAACAUUUUAUUGUUAAAUUUAUCUAGAUUAUAAAGAGGGCCUUAACAUUUUCUAAUUGUUAAUGCUUUUCAAUCACUCAAUGAGACUAGCUGAAGGGUGUUUUUUUUUUCUCCUCACACUUGUGAUAUAGCUAAGUUCAGAGAAAUGUAUACUGUAAAGGUUCUAGAUACACCAAAAAUUAUUGAUAGUUUCCUUAAUUGGAUAUAUGAUACAUGGAUAAAAGUUUAAGAAAAAAAUAUGGUAAUACUAUUAUGAAGUAUUUUUUAAAAUAAUUUUCAAUAAUCUCAGUCUCCAGGAAAAUAGUCUUACUAAACAAAUUUCAUCUGGGUUAAAUUUAUUUAUUCUUAAAAAAUACAUGCAAAGGUACUUCAUUCCAAACAUUUACAAAUUCAUGAAAUGUUUUUCUUUAGUAUUCUUUCCUUUUCAAAUUUGCAAAGUGGUUUUGGUUUGCAUAAGGAUACCCUAGUUGUUUUUUGUUUUGUUUUUGUUUUUUGUUUUUUCCUAUUCUCCUCUGUAUGUACCAGAGAGUGGCACAGUGUUUGUUUGGAAUUUUUGAUAUAAGUAAUAAUUUUACUUAUUUUCAUUUUAUAUUUGGCAAUGAGACAUAUAUGGCAAAUGAGACAAUGAAAGCAAAUCUUAUAGGAAAAAAAUACUAAACAAAAUAAACAUCAUUUGAAGAGUAGUGAUCAAAUAAAAGGCUUCAGUUCACAAUUAACUUUUCGGUUCUGUUGAGGAAAGAUGAAAAUAAAACAUUGCUGCAUCCCAGUAAAUAAGUUAGGAGAAUUAAUACACACGUCAAUCAAAAUGUGAUGCCAGUUAACAUGGGAGGAACCAGAUAUCAUUGAAAUCAACUACCAAAGGAACAUAUGCACUGUAUGGAAUUAGCAACUAUUCACACAGUGAGGCGACAUCUCAUAUGUGAUCACAGAAAAAUAGUUUAAAAGUUAAACAUUGUUUGCUGGCAGAAGCCUGAUAUAGCUGUCAUUUGAGAGACUCCAACAUAUAAUAAGGACACAUGCUCCAAUGUCAUAGCAGCCUUUUUUAUAAUAGCCAGAAACUGAAAAGAACCCAGAUGUCCUCCAGUUGAGGAAUGGAUACAGAAAAUGUGAUAUAUUUACACAAUGGAACUCAGCUAUUAAAAACAAUGACUUUAUCAAAAUUGUAGGCAAAUUGAUGGAAUUAGAAAAUUUUAUCCUGAGUGAGUAACCCAGUUACAAAAGAAUGCACAUGGUAUGUACUCACUGAUAAGUGGAUAUUAGUCCAAAAGCUCUGGAAUACCCAAGAAACAAUUCAUAGACCACAUGAAUGUCAAGAAGAAGACCAAAGGGUGAAUGCUUCAGUCCUUCUUAGAAGGGGAAACAAAAUACUCAAGGGAGGAAAUGCGUAGACAAAGUGUAGAGAAGAGUUUGAAGGAAAGGCCAUCCAGAAACUGCCCAACCUGGGGAUCCAUCCCGUAUACAGUCAUCAAACCCAGACAGUAUUGUAGAAGCCAAGAUGUGCAUUUUGACAGUAGCCUGAUACAGUUGUCACCUGAGAGUCUCUGCCAGAUCCUAACAAAUACAGAGGAGGAUGCUCGCAGCCAGCCAUUGUACUGAGAACAGGGUCUCCAAUGGAGAAGUUAGAGAAAGGACUGAAGAAACUGAAGGGUUUUGCAACCCCAUAAGAAGAACAACAAUAUCAACCAACCAGACCCCCAGGGCUCCCAGGGACUAAACCACCAACCAAAGAGUAUACAUGGAGCAACCCAUGGCUCCAACUACAUAAAUAGCAGAGAAUGGCCUUGUCAGGCAUCAAUGGGAGAAGAGGCCCUUGGUCCUGUGAAAGCUCUUUUCCCAAAUGUAGGGGAAUGCCAGGACAGGGAGAAAGGAGGGAGUGGGUUGUUGGGUGGGAGAGCACCCUCAUAUAAGCAGGAAGAGGAAGGAUGGGAUAGAGAGUCACUGGAGGGGAAAUCAGGAAAGGGGAUAACAUUUGAAAUGUAAAUAAAGAAAAUAUCCAAUUAAAAAAAGUUCUCUUAGGAAAACAUGCCAUUAAAUUUUAUUUGUGUCUCUUUUUUAUACUAGCAAUUUAUUUCCCCACUGAAACAAGUCACAUGGGAAAGGUUUAUUUAACACCCACUUUGUAAUAGCAGCACUUUUAGAAUUGUAAACAUCUAGGAGAUCCUUACCAGAUCCUCUCAGAGACUGGACAAGAAAUGAAUCUGAAAAAUGUAGUUUCUACAAGUCAAUAUAAGCAUAGAUAGCAAAAUGAAUCCAAAGAAAGAACCAUCUAGUAUAUUCUAUAUAUCCAAUGAAGUAUAAAUGUUUUUUUGGCAACUGUCAGCAAUAAAAUCCUGAAGAUAAUACACUUGAAACCAAGAAUUUGUAAUGACUACACAUUACAGAAGAUAGUUCUUCUUGUGAGCACUGGGACCAUUUAGCUUAUAGAAAACAACCAAAAGACGGGACAAAAAUUGCAUUGCACACAUGUAUCAAAUUCUCAAAGAAUAAAUAAUUUUCAUGAAAAAUACUCAAAUGAAUUUCAAAGCAAACAAUGAAAGCCCUGGUACCUAUAAAUUUCAAGCCAGAGACUAGGAAAUUACCUGACGAUCUCGGGUAUCAAGAAUGAUCUUUGCAGUUGUAAAGCUCAGUGUUGAUGUUCAUGGAUGCAGCAUUAAUUCGUUCGUUAGACUUUCAGUUGCACGUGCCAGUCCAUCAAAUCAAAAUUUUGUCCAGUGCUUUUAUAUAUCUACACCACACAUAGCAACAUCUCAGGCAAAGAAAAUUUACUCCAGAAGUACAUAAUGUAUGUGUAUGACAUUUAGUGACAAUGAUCAUUUUUAUCAAUUUCUAUUUUGUUUUAAUAAGUUUCCUGAGGACAAUAAAUAGAAUUUGACAACUGCUUUAAUUAAGAAUGUAAAGGACCUUAUAAAUAUAGGUAAUAUUUGGGGAAAUUAUUGAACAAGUUAAUUACUUGGCAGGCUUUCACACCGACCAUGCUGGCAUUCGAGUGGCAAACUUAAUGAAUACUCCCUCUUCCAGACAAAUGUGCCUCACAAAAUGAUGAAGUCUUUGAGUAGAGGAUUGUAGAUGCAGUCACUGGGAAAAGGAACAAUACAUUGAGCAGAGCCAAGUAGAGGAAACAAAGGAGGUACUGAUGCACAGAAUUGUGAAGCUCUUUCUAGGCUGACACAGGCACAUAUGAGUGACAGCAGAUCUAAACCCUAUUGUCGCAUUCUCAUUGUAAAGAGACAUAAACUCUAGUCUAAGAUACAGAGGAAAUGGAAGUUACCAUUCCAGUUACACAGAGAAACCUCACGUUUCUCCCUUAGAAUUUGCUUUUAAGAAUUCUAACAUGUGCCUUGACUUUGAGUCAUUAAUCCUUGGGAUCAUUUUUAUACGUAUAGGCUCUUGCUUCUGUUUCUGAAGUCUAUAGCUACUGAUUUUUGAAUUAACUUGGAACAGCGCACAGUACUAAAGAUGUUCUUCAUUCAGAGAAUAAAUGUUCUAUGGCGUCUUGUCUACAGUUAGGCUCUGUAUGAUUUCAAAGUGUCUUCUUAUUUAGAGAUUAUAAUACAACUACAACAUUUCUUCCUUCUAGUUCUUCCCUUGAAACUCCCAUGAACAUGCCCCUUUGCUCCCGCAAAUUCAUGGCCUUUUUUUUUCACUAAUUGUUAUUGUAUUCAUAUAUGUAUAUGCAUCAGUGUAUGAAUUCCUAACCAGAAUCUGCUCAGUCUAUAUGGUUUUAGAACUGACCAUUUAGUAAUUUUCUUAUUUUUUCAAUAACAUGUUCCUAAAACAAUGAGCAUGAAAACCCAUUUCUUCUUAAAAAAUAUUUAAAAACCACUGGAAGAUUAUGUCUGUGAAAUUAUUUUCUAGUAAUAUUUAAUGCAUUUUGACGACGUGCCACUAUCAUUGGUUCUAGUAAGACAACUUAAAUUGUAUUAAUUUAAAUUCAUCUUAUAUUUUAGUAAAUACUUUUCCUAAAGAUUGAUUUUUUAACAGUUCCAUUUUGUUUUAUAUUUUAGCAAAAUGAUGCAAUCUCCAACUUCAGUUAGAGAGUUGUAUAUUUUAGCUUUCUGUAGUUUUGAUAUAAAAAUAAUUAAGAUGAGUUAUCCUGAAAAUUUUUGAUAGUAUCAUAACUACCCACAAUUCCUUCAGAUUCAACUCACCUAAACAUGUGUCCUGUUUCUUUUUAUCCUGUGACGAUCAAUUUGUACUUGCAGAGUAUUCUGGAAUGUGUAAUCUUCCACUGUGGUAUGCCACACUUACCAGAGGUACACUCAGAUAAAAUUGGCUCUCAUUCUCCCAGCAACUAACAAUUGCCAGUUACACCAUGACUUGGGGUGAGAUUCAGACCCAGCUACUAUCUCCAUGCUGGGAUUUGGUCAGACUUGGGCUUGCCCACAUUGGCUCAUGCUGUCUCAAGCUCUGUGAAUUUAUCCUUGCAGCUAGCUGCCCAGGAGUAUUCAGAAAACACUUUCCUUGUAGUCAUUCAUCACCUCUGCCUCUUAAAUUCUGUCAGCACCUCCUCCAAUCAUCCCUGAGCCCAGAGAAGGUGAUAGGGAGGUGCGAUAUAUAUGUUUCCUCCAGGGCUGAGGAAUCUCCUAAGUUCUGUCCUUACUCAGUUUUGGCUAUCUGUGUUCAUCACCAUCUCUUCCAAAUAAAGCUUUUCAGUUGCUAGUUGAGACAUGCAUUGACUUGUGAGUAUAACAUAAGUCAUUAGGACUCAAGAGUCAAAUAAACAAUAAUUUCAUAUAUUACAAGAUAGUUGAGUGACGUGUCUUUUAAGUGAAUUUAUAAUUAAUAUAACUGAAAGAAAUUAGAAUCAAGAUUAUUUUAUAAAUUAGGUUUUCUAUUCAUUUAUAAAUAUGAGUGAAUUACUCUGCUUAUUUACUAUUUAUUUACUAUAUAAAAUGUAGCUUUUUACACACACACACACACACACACACACACACACACACACACACACACACACAAGGCAAGUUUGUUUGCAGGUGCCUGAAAUACAGUUAUCUUGUAGCAAGGAUGGGAGAAUUUCUAGAUUAAAGCCAGGUGGAGCUUUAAGAAUGAGACCACUCAAAGAAACUAAUUGAAAUAUAAAUAAAUGAGUGAAUGAGUGAAUGAAUAUGCCUCCAGUCACUGUAGAUUUUCUUGUACAAGUUUAAUAUGUUGAAUAAUAGUAAAGAAAGUAAAUGCACAACAUAGCCUGCUGGUUGAGGAGUAGUGCAAACUAGACUGAUCGUGCUGUGCUGCCCGAAUUUUUGUUCCCCACGGCUGCACAUGUGACAUCAGGCACGUGUGACUCAACACCUGAAGCAACUGUCCUCAUCCAGACAAAGAACUGCUUUAACAGUACCGCACAAUUUCUACCAAAGUUUAAGUCUGUAGAGAUAAAUUAGUGGCGUGUGACUUUAAGUUGGUCUUUCCUUUCCUUCUACGUAUUAAAUUACCAUUUUGUGGUUAUAGUGUCCUUGGUGUCUGUCACGGACAUAGAUAUCUUUCUGUAAUAUGAAAUAAUAUCCCUUGAUGUUUAAAUGGUGAGGCGACACCCAUGAAGAGUUAAUUUACUUGAAAUCACUUAAUUAUAUUUUUAAACAUCAAAUUGUAAAGAAAACUUUAUUCCUUAAAUAUCCAGCUUACUCACUAGGUUUGUAAAUGGCCCUUGGUGACUGAAAAUCUGAUUAAAGUCAUUCAAGUGGACAGGUUUUAUUAUUUUUUAUUUACUGUAAAGCACCGUUUUUAUAUAGAGUCAUUGCUAACGGUCAUGGGUAGGCUUAAUCCUCCCCAAAAAUCAUUCUUUUGCCAAUCGUGUCUUUAAAGUCCUGAGAUAUUCAGUCAAGAUAAUUGAAAAUAAUUUUAGUAUGCAAAAUUUCCUUUUUUAUUCAGAAGUCCUCAUCCAUGUUGGUCAAGUCAUUAGUUUAAUUCACUUACAAGAUUAAUAUUAAUAAUCAUUUUUCAUUUAUUUAUGGUACUCCUUUCCAUGAUCUGUGUAACACAUGCUAGAUAUUAUUUUAAUUAAAUGUUGCUAAAAGUUUUGCCAAAGUCUUUCUAUUCUGGAAGAAAUGGGGCUUAGGUGGUCACAUAGCUUACUUUCUGUGUGCCAGUGCCCAGAAGGGACAUGAUUUCUGCACAGUCUUCUUAACCUGCAUUCUCACAGCUCACACUAGCAAUCACUUUCUGUCUCUUACCAUCUUCUGUGGAAUACAAACCACUAGAACAUUCAUGAUUGCAAGCUUUGUAAUAUAGAUGGAUUGUUCUGUCUUAUAAUUUUUAUUAUAAACCAUUUGUGGUGGCCUUGAACACUUGUGAUCUUAGAGUGAAAUCUAUUUCAGGGAAGGAGACCCGGUGAGUAAUGCUUUAGGCUUGACUUUCCUACAUGUUAAAUCAAAUAAUGUCCUUAUUAUUUGUCAAUGUCACUUUUAGAACCGUGUGCAUAGGUGUGUAUGUAUGUGUGUCUGUGUGUGACACUUAAGUAGUGACAUGAUGAAAAUGAUAUGAAAUCCAAAGAAUACCAUUUUAAUUAUCUUCUGAGUGUAGUAUUUUCCUACUCAUGAAAGAUCAUUCCCCCAAGUGUGCAUUUUCUUAUUUAUUUUUCCCUCUGAGACUGCAAAUAUUAGGAAAAAAAAACCUUUUUGUCUCAAUUUUUACUCAUUACAUAACUUCUGUGAAUUUUGUCAGUGAAAUAUAUUGUCUUUAGUUCUUAAAUUAACAUCUGUUUUUAGAAGUAACAAAACGUCCAAGGCAGAGUAAAGUAAUUAUUGCAACAGAGUACACUUAAAAUUUCCUGAUCUUAGGAUCAAUGUUCCUCAGUAAAAGCUUCAUUUCCUUUGUUCCGGAAUAAUUCCACCUCAUAUACUAACCAAAGCAUGCAAAUUGGAAAUGAAAUUUCUUUUUUACUAAUUUUCUUAGAAUUGAUUGCUUGUUUGACUGGGCUGACCUUUCUUUAAAUCUGAAUUGAUUGACCAAUUGAGUCAAUGUGGUUAAAUUGGUUGUGCAUGUACACAGAGACUUUGUUUAUUCAGUUUAAGAUAUUCUGAGUAACAAUUUCCCUCUGCUUCUGUUCUGCUCCAAGAAACAGUCCACUUUAUGAUUCAUUUAAUAAUGUGUCAGAAAAUAAAUGGCAAUGGAGCAGGACACUGGGGACAGUCGCAGGGGAUCCUGUGGUUGUUUAACAUCCCGAGAAAUAAUUUUUACAAAUCAUUUCAGAUUCUUAUGUAGCGGGGAUGUCAAACUUGUGUAUUAUAUUAAAGAUGCUAUCUAUACUUUGGCUUCUAUGAAGUUAAGUUAUCAGAAAACUGGAGUCAUCACCAAUGUGAUUACCAUCUAUUAUAACUGUACAAUUUCCAGCACUUUGAAAAAAAUUGGAGUGCACCACGGGACAAUCAGAUAUAUUUGAAUGGCUUAAGGAUAUUGCUUUCUAUUUCUCAUGUUUACAAGUCAAAUUUUCAUUGUACUGGGUAACAUUGUGUAGAACCCCCCCCCAAAUCACAUAAAAGAACCAAUAUAGAUUAUAAUAUCUUGGUACCAGAUUUUUCUAAGAAUAAGAGUUUUCUCAUUCACUUAAAAUAUCUAAUUUCCUUUACUUUGUCCUACUUUUUAUCUUUUGGACAUCAGAAAUAAGCCCUGUAACUCUGAAAUUCAUAAUCAGAAGGAUAGGAGUGUCAGACCCUAAGAUUUCUAGAGGAACCUGCCUUUCAGUCCUGUGUUACAACUGUAGUUCCAUUGAAGAUCAGUAAAAAAAAUUUCUACAAAACCCAUCCUCUUCCAUACUCAAUCCUCAUAUUGUUUUCAGAAACAUUUUUUCAUGCCACAGGGCUGUGCAAAAUAUAAUUUUGUGUUUCUAUGUAUAUAUCCCACAAAGCCUGAUUAGUGUACGUGUGUGUGUGUGUGUGUGUGUGUGUGUGUGUGUGUGUGCACGCAUGCGCACAUGCAUGCUCUUUGAUUGCUGUAAAAUAGAACUUUGCGAUCUUUAAACAAAGUUUUAGAAAGAAAAUGUUUUGCUUAGGCUGUUCUGACAAUGUUGAUGAGAUGAGUAGGUUUUAUUGUUGUAACAGGAAAGGAGACUUCAACAACGUUUUAUAGAUAGUGUGCUAAACACAGUGCAUCCAGAGAUGAAGUGAAGGUCUGCAGACCUCCUUUGGGUGAGGUGUGGUCUUUUCACAAAAUAUCCAUAAAUUCGAAGAGUGGAUUCUAUUGGGGUGUAGCGAGGUGGUGAACUGUAAGUGAUGGGACUGAGGAGCACCAUGGUUUUUAUGCUUCGCUCUCAUGAGAGACAGGCGUCCUUGGCCAUUUUUACAUGUAGCUACUGUCUCCUUUCAAGCCCCUCUCUCAUCUGAACUCACUCUCACAGAAUCCUUGCUGGAGGAGAUUGCUAUGCUGUCUGUGCUUUCAGCUGUACUUUAAACUUUGACUUCAAUCCUCCUUUAUCGUUCAGUCUUGGAUAUUUUGUCAGAGCAACACUGAAGGGACUGGUAGAUUACAUGUGUGUGCAUGUGUGUGUGUAAUGUACUUGACUAAUCAAUUCUUAAUGGCUGUCUGAGAAAGUCUAAAAGGAAUACAUUUUCAAAUGGAAAGGCAUAAUCAGUCUUUACUCAAUUCUGUCAAAUGUCCAGAGGUUUCUAGGCACAUAUUUUUAUUCAAUUGUUAAUUCACCCCCAUUCAUGUCUAACUUUAUACACAAGCAUUUGGAAAUAUGUAGUACUCACUUCUCAUCAAGGAAAUUUUUCCUUGCAAUGGACAGAAACCAGUAGAGAAAACCAUUGAAAAUUUAGAGUUGUAGAGUCCACUGUCAAUGGAUGCAACUGUAAAACACUCUUCAGCGAAGAGUCAGGGGACAUUUUAGAAGAGUAGGCUUAAAGAUUGUAUGAGCUAGAGAAUUAGGAGUUAGUUUCCUGUGAGACUGUCUCUCCUAGGAAUUUCUGAAGUUUCACCCUUAAAGUCUUACAACAUGACUGCUUAACUAAGAAUUGAACAAGCACAAUAAGAGGAGACAGACCUAAGAGGACAGGGGAAGGCCCAUGAGGCCUCAGCAAAGACUAUAGGCAACUAAGGAGCAUGUACAGUGUAAGAAAUAGCCUUCCCCACUGAAAAGCACACUGAUUUGUCAUCCAAAACCAAAUGUUGAGCCCUGAAAGCAUACUUACUUACAAGUGAUGGUAUACAAACUGGGCAGCUUAUAUUUAGGAAUAUUUAUGUGUAUACAUAUAACAAUGGAAAAUAUGCCAUGAAUUUGAAAUUUUGCAAGGAGUGUUUGAAGGAACAGAAGAAACAGGGAAGAUAAUGUAAUUAUAAUCUAGAAAGGAAGGAAGGAAGGAAGGAAGGAAGGAAAGAAGGAAGGAAGGAAAGAAGGAUUAAGUGCAAAAACAAGCAUACAAACAAAGAUACGCCUUCCAGAUCAUUCUCUUUUGAAGGAACAUAAAUAUUUGGUGUUUUGUUUCAAAAUUUCCUAAGAUAUCAAUGAGAUUGUAAAUCUUUCUCUUUUUAUUUUUAAAUGAUUCAUUUAUUUGUGUGUAUGUGUAAAUGCCUAUGUAUAUGUAAGUGUACCAAGUUCAUACCUCGUGUACCAUAAGCCAGAAAAAGGCAUAAUUUCUUCUGAAACUGAAGGUCCAGGCAGCUGUGAGCCACCAUGUGUAUGCUAGGAACUGAAAUCUUGGUCGUCUGCCACUGCGGCAAGUGUCCUUAAUGCUGACCUGUUUCCUCCAACCUGAGAUAUCAAGUCUUUCUGAUAAGUUACUACACUAUACCUUUUCUUUCAUAUCUCAAUCAAUAUUGACCUGAGAACACAUUUAGGGAAUAUGUCCUUAAAGUUAUUCAGAAAAUCUUUAUCAAAAACUGUAGUUUGAUGAGGUAUUACUGUAUCUAACCCAGCACCUGCUGUGUCUGCAAGCACAUAGAAAUAGAAAUAGCUAUCAUUUGAGGUUAUCAUUUGCAUUCCACAUUUGAGGUUAGAACUUUGCCAUAUUUGACAUAAUCACACAGAUAUACAUUUCAUUCCUUCGUAAACUUGCAUCAUGUCAUUUCAUAGCGUCUCUCCCCUAAUCUAUUGUGAACACAGUUUGUUCUCAUUAAUUGAUUACUUUGGUUUGGGCAAGUCAAGUUGACUUUGGUUCUCUACAUGGCAAUUAGAGAUGCUUAAUUAGAAUUUAAUUUGGGUGAUACAAGGCGUGCUUGCCAGCACCACAUUGGUGCUUUAGGCAGUAACUGGGACCUCCUUGGGAAUUCUGUCUAUAUCUUUUUAUUUAUGGGAGGUGUUAUUUAUGGGAGGUGACACAAGAACACCAGAAGUUUCACAUAUUCUUGGGCUUUUUCUUCCAUAUUGGCAAUAAAUAUGAGUGUGGCAGCCUCGGUUCAGUGUGCUUAGCUGAGUUACUGAAACAUCCAGGAGAGCAAUUCUUCGGUUAGGAGGAGUAAGCACCACCCUAAUAGCAGUGCUUAGUGGUAAGGCUGUCUGAGAGCCAGAAAAGAGAUUUUAAAUUAAACGGACUUUACUGAAAAUUGUCUUCACUUUGCAGUCCAGAGUCAGGGUUGCAAUUUUCAACUUUCUUUCCUUUCACUUACCUGUUGCUAAGAGAUCACAGUUCAGGUAAAAUUUAUGUUUCUUCAAUUAUUGGGCAUAGAGUCAGCAUGAGAGAGAAAGUGUGAAGUGUAGCAUGUAGGUAAGGACUUAAAAAUGUAAGUGGCGUAAGAGAAAGUGGAAAUAUGAACAUUUAGUGAAUGAUUAUUAAAUAUGUCAGAAUAAACUAAGUAUUCUUGAGUCUUCCACUGUGACUAUAGAAAUUAGAGCUUUUGGUUUUGUUUCUCUUCUUUUAGCUUUUUUACUUAAGAAUCAGAAAAAAAAUGUUUGAUUGAGAUAGAAUUGGCAGACAUUAUUAUUUCUAGUUGAUUUACAAUAAUAGCAAUCAUUUACCAGUCCUUUGAAGUCUAUUUGUUACAUGAAAUUUUAUUACAUGUUAGGAAAUUUUAAGCAUGGUUAAAAAUUGCAUUUUCUCAAAAACAAACAUAAAAUGGGAAGGUUCACGCUUGGACCUUUUAAGUCUGGUCUAGUUAGAGCUAUACUUUUCCUUAAGAAAAUUUUAAGACCACAGUCAAAGGUGAAUAUUCCUAUUCUAAUCAGGAGGUUACCAUUGACCAGCAUAUAUAUCCCUCAGCAGACAUACUACUCACUGAAUGGCUGAUGUCAAGUUCCACUAAGAAUUCACUUGAGAUGUGUGGUACUGACAGUCCAAAACAUUCUCCUCCUCCUCCUCCUCCUCCUCUCCCUCCUCCUCCUCCUCCUCUUCCUUCUCCUCCUCCUCCUCUUCCCCUUCUUCCCCUUCCCCUUCUUCCCCUCCUUCUCCUUCCCCUUCUUCCCCUCCUUCUCCUUCCCCUUCUUCCCCUCCUUCUCCUUCCCCUUCCCUUUCCUCCCCUUCCCCUUCUUCCCCUUCUUCCCUUUCCUCCCCUUCCCCUUCUUCCCCUUCUUCCCCUUCUUCCCCUUCCCCUUCUUCCCCUUCUUCCCCUUCUUCCCCUUCCCCUUCUUCCCCUUCCCCUUCUUCCCCUUCCCCUUCUUCCCCUUCCCCUUCUUCCCCUUCUUCCCCUUUUUCCCCUUUUUCCCCUUCUUCCCCUUCCUUCUUCCCCUUCUUCCCCUUUUUCCCCUUUUUCCCCUUCUUCCCCUUCUACCCCUUCUUCCCCUUCUUCUGCUUCUUCCCCUUCUUCCCUUUCCUCCUCCUCCUCUUCCUCCUCCUCCUCCUCCUCCUCCUCCUCUUCCUCCUCCUCUUCUUCUUCUUCUUCUUCUUCUUCUUCUUCUUCUUCUUCUUCUUCUUCUUCUUCUUCUUCUUCUUCUUCUUCUUCUUCUUCUUCUUCUUUUUUCUCCUUCUCCUCCAAUUGAAGCAGCACAUGAAAAUGAAUAAAAGAAGAAUCCCUCUGUGAAAUGAACGGUCUAGGAACAGAGCAUGAAUGUGUUCUACUUUUGGUAUUUCUUUUAUAUUGAAAUGCCAUUGAUACAUAGGAUAAAUGCUUUCUGUGACCAUUUUUGUUAUUUCAAAAAAUAUUGAAUGUUUUCUAUUUAACUACUAAGAGUCAUUCAGAACAAAAAACAAACACCUAGCCUUAUCAUCAUCUUUGUGCUCUUGUUUAAUAAAAGAGUAUAAUAAAAGUGAGGUUUCAAGUAGAAAACUAGGUUUCAUGAAUAUCCAUUGUCACUUGCCAGAGUCAUAUUCUAAUUUGCAGCAAAGUCUGAGACACCUGUGAGCCUGUUCUGUUGUUUUGGAACAUCAUGAUGAUGGUUUCUUCAAGGUACUUUGACAUGAAAUUUGAUGUUAAAUAGGGCUUAACAUGUUCUAGUUAGGCCAGUAAUGCAAUACUUAAUUGCCCACAUACUCUUUGCCAUAUUUUUGAUUUUUGCUAUCAAAUAUAUGUCAUAUGGGUUCAACAACAAUAACAACAACAACAACAACAACAAAUAAAGUAAGGUGAUAACUGUGGCUGAGGAUAUAGCAUGGUAGUUCAAUGGUAGAACUCAUUCAUGAUGUGUGCGGCAAGGCCCUGGGAUGAGUGAUGACCAGGAGAGAGAGAGAGAGAGAGAGAGAGAGAGAGAGAGAGAGAGAGAGAGAGAGAGAGAGAGGAGAGAGAGCCACAGAGGCAGAGAGAUAGAGGCAGAGAUGGAGACAGACAGAAUGAGAUUUCAACCAUUAAUGUGGUUUUUCUCUUUAUUCUAUUAAUUUUAUACACAUUACAGUAGAAGAUAUAUAAAAGCAUUGUUAUAUACUUAAAAUCUUGAUUAUAUAAUCCCUAGGUAUCUUUGAUGAAUAUAUCAAGCAGCUAUAAAAAGGAGAACAAACAUGAAAGUGGAAGAUCUAAGAUUUGUGCCAAGUAUGUUUUCUCACAUAUGCAAAAGAGACUUAGUAGAGGUCUGUUCCCAAAGUAUACUCCAAUUCAGACAUAGCUGAAAAAUCAUUAAAGUAAAAAUAGCUGAAGACAUUUCUACCCAGAAUCCUGAGAAUUUAGACCAUAGUCUUGUAUACCAAUUUUACUCCUUUACUCAACUCCAGAAUUUUGAUGUACAACAAAAUAUAGGAGAUUCGGUUGCACUAAUUGCUAAGGUCAGUUUCAGCUCAAAAUGGCUGGUGCUCAGAGUCUAAAUAAUAGAAUUAACAGUCUUCCUGAAAUUCAGAAGUCUUCACAUGUUUUGGCUGUUUUCUGAUGUUUACCAGACUUGCAGACUUGGAAAGCAACAGGUAGAGUUUUAGAUUUCAAAAACAUAUUCUUUGAAAUUAAUAUAUAAUUACAUCAUUUCCUCCUUUUCUUUCCUACUGCUACCCUUUCUCAUGUACCCUCUUACUCCCAACUUCAUUAAAUCUUCACAGACACACACACACAUUAGAAAUUUUCCUCUAGAUCAAAAAUAAUGACAAUGAAAGAUCAUUUUAUUGCUAAACAUGAAUUACAUACAAACAAAACAAUAAAUAAAUUAAUGAGUAUGUGAAACAAAAAUUCCUCCCCUUCUAAAAUAAAGAAUAUAUUGAGUUUCAAGAUUGUGUGUGUGUGUGUAUAUGUGUGUCUGUGUGUAGACCUGGGUCUGUGUGUGUGUGUGUAUGUGUGCGUUUGUAUACCAGAGAAUAUAUUCCUAAAUAUAAAAUCAUUGCAUGAUCAGUGCAUAUGAAGUUACUUGUAUGUAUAUGACUUCAGGGUUGAUCAAGUGCUUUUAGAUAAACACUUAUUUUCUUUAAAAAAAAUGAUUGUAUUCUUUUUGUUGCCUAGAGACUCUGCAUUGAUUGCAUUACUUAGGAGAUUGUCAGUAAAUAUUACCUGGAGGAGUAGGCUAAGAAAACUCUUAACCAGGUCACUGAAGAAAAUCUUAACAAGGCACUAGGAAAGAAUAUGAACACAAAAACUGAGUAAGAAGCAGAGUGUACACAAGACUUUUAUAUUGAUGUAUUAGUUCAUUCUUUAUGAAUUUAGAACUUUUUUUAAAACAAAUAAUUCAACAGGCAAACAAAAUUCUCUGGGGAAUCUUGGAAAAUUCCCCUUGAUCAAACAGAAUAUUGACAGCUAACAAGUUCAUUUCAUUGUUAAAGAUGGAUCACAUACACACAAUAAAUAAAUAAGUCAAAGAGUGUACGUGACAGAAAUACCUGCAUUCUUAGAGAAAGAAUAUUUUAAAUUUCACAAUUGCACUAAUAUCAAAAGUUCUUCUCCCUUUACUUACUAUCCCCUCUCUAAGUCAUGACGAGAAACAGAAGAUGUCUCUGCAUUCCUAUGAUCCCAGAGUCAGGACAGUGACCCAGAGUUGUGAGUUAAAGAUCAGCAUGGGAUAUUUUUUUAAAAAUAACAUUUGUUUUAUUUCUACAAUAUUUAUCAAGCCAUUGUCAGAACAUACACAUUUUUAAAUCUUAAUUGACUUAAUAAAACUGAGAGUUUUAUUAUUGAUCCAUUCUUCAGUCAGCAUGGGAUAUUUACAGCAUGAUCCCUUCUACAAAAAGUGCAUAGUUUUACAAUGGUGUUUAUUAUAUGUACCUUGUCUAAGACAGUUUAUAAUUUAAUCUAGUCCACAUUCACUAAUGCAUAGAGAAAAUAAAGAAAAAGAAAAAUCACAAAUGUGAUAUUACAGGAAAACAAGAUUUUUUUUUAUUGGAUACUGUUUUAUUUACAUUUUAAAUGUUAUCCCCUUUCCUGGUUUCCAGUCCAUAAACUCUCUAUUCCAUUCUUCUCCCCCUUCUUCUAUAAGAGUGUUCCCCCACCCAACCACCUACCCUUUCCCACCUCCCUGCCCUGGCAUUCUCUAUACUGGGGGGGGUCCAACUUGGCAGGACCAAAGGCUUCUCUCCCCAUUGGUGCCCAUCAAGGUAAUCCUCUGCUACAUAUGCAAUUGGAGCCACGGGUCUGUCCAUGUGUACUCUUUAAAUGGUGGUUUAGUCCCUGGGAGCUCUGAUUGGUUGGUUGGUGUUGUUGUUCUUAUGGGGUUGCAAACCCUGUCAAAUCCUUCAAUCCUUUCUCUAACUCCUCCAAUGGGGACCGUAUUAUCAGUUCAAUGGAUGGCUGCGAGCAUUCCCCUCCAUGUUUGUCAUGCUCUGGCAGAGCCUCUCAGGAAACAGCUAUAUCAGACUCCUGUCAGCAUGCACUUCUUAGCAACAGCAAUAUUGUCUGGGUUUGGUGAUGGUAUGUAUAUGGGUUGGAUUCCCAGGUGGGGCAGGUCCUGAAUGGCCAUUCUUUCAGUCUCUGCUCCAAACUUUGUCUCCAUAUCUCCUCCUAUGAAUAUUUUUGUUACCCCUUCUAAGAAUAACUUAAGCAUCCACACUUUGGUCAUCCUUCUACUUGAGCUUCAUGUGGUCUGUGAAUUGUACCUUGGGUAAUUCGAGCUUUUGGGCUAAUAUCCACUUAUCAGUGAGUUCAUACCAUGUAUAUUCUUUUGUAGUUGGGUUACCUCACUUAGGAUGAUAUUUUCUAGUUCCAUCCAUUUGCCUGUGAAUUUCAUAGUGUCAUUGUUUUUAAUAGCUGAGUAGUAGUCGUCAUCGAUUGUGAAAACAAGAAUUUUAAAAAAUUUUUUUCUUUUUACUUUUGAAAGUAUGGAACUGAUUCUUAUCUUUCUAUUGAUUUAAUUGACUCAUUAAAAAAAUAAGAUAUUGGAGGACAGGAUUUCUAGGCUAGGAACAUAGAACAAUUGUUGCAUAUAUAUGCAUGUAUAUAUGUAUAUAUCUUCUUUAAAAUUUUGUUGUGAACCUGACAUUAUUCUACAAAGAAAAUAUGAAUAUAAAAAGUGAUAAAUAGAAAAAUGAAUAACAUCAAUCCAAUAAUUUAUUGCUUUACACACAUUGCUGCAAAUUGAAGGCAAGAAAAAUGUCCAGGAACUAUAUUUGUCAUGAAAUCGUUCACAUACACAUAUAUGAAUAUAUACACAUAUGUGUGUGAAUAUAUGCAUAUAUGCAUGCUGUAUUUCUAAAAGUAUGUACAUACAUAUAUACAUGUAUAUAUGUAUAUUUAUUGGCAUAUAAACACACACAUAUAUAUAUACUCACAGACAAAUAAAACAUAUCCUAGCACAAAGAAUUCAAUAAUCAGACAUUUUUCUGUCAAAUACAUUAUUUUGCUAUAAAUUUUCAGUCCAAGUUUUACAGUAGUAUUCAGUUCUUCUUAAUAACCCAGAAAGGUCACACCUCAAAGGAAGUUCUGACCAGCUUGAGCAUGUCUUCAUAACCACCAAGAAUUUCCAGGGUACUGGAAUGUCUGCCUAGUCUUUCUUCAUUUGAGUUAUAAGAAGGGAGGUUGUGUCCAGUGAACUCCACCUGACAUUGCUCUUUGUCACUGUUUCCAUAGCUUCUGAAUAUUGCUCCAGGGCUAGAGUAUAAAUAGGAUGAACAGAGCCUCAAGCCGCCUACAUGACUCAUGUAAGCCAUAAUUACACUGGCCAUGUGUCUAUUUCCAGGACCUAUUUAAGGCCUAUAAUUCAGUGUAACAUUUGUUCUAAAAUAUAAUUCUAGACAAUCUCUCAACUACCAGAGCAAUGUUGGAGUGACACAAUGGAUGGUCUCUUUGUUGAAUACUCAUAGCUCCUUACUACAUAUAUAUGGACACGCACAUAUUUUCAUUGCUGUCUUGUUCACGCUCAAUACUAAGCUGGUAACAAAUAUAAAUACCUUUAAAUACUGCUAUUUUUCUUUUGGGUGUCUUUAUUUUUAGGAAUAAACAAUGGUUUUUAAAAUGGGAGUUGGUUGCCAUUGGAAAGCACUUUCAUGCCAGUUUAGCAGGCAGAAGCUCUUCCAACUCUCAAAACUGUACUCCGUGAAGAAACUCCUGUCAACCUGACCCACCCUUGUGGACAUGUUUUGCUGACAUAAACAAGUGGAAUGGGUCUCCUUCUGUUCCAAGUUUCUUUGUAAUAAACUAGUUGAAAAUGUAGAAACAGAAGAAGCAUGCAGAACCUUUCAUAUCACAAAAAAAUGUUUAAAUAUCAAAAAUUAUGUGGUAAUGCAUUUUCUUUAAGAUGCUCCCUUCAGACCUGGAAGGACCUAAGGAAAAUGGUCAGUUUUAACUUAAGGGUUUUAGGAUAAAUGGUACCAACAUUUUUAUGAAAUUAUUCCAAAUUUGGUUGAGACCGAAGCCUUUUUAUGAGUGAGACAUGAUAAUCUAUUUACCUGGUUAGUAUCUCAUACUGUUUUGUGGUGGUUAUACUGAUUCUAACUUUCCAACGUUCAGAAAAAGCUAAUUUUAUCACCAUUUUCAAUCCAUGUAACAUUACAUAUUUUUCUAAUAUAAAUAGUAACUUGCAAAUAUAUAAUAUAAAUAACAAAUUUCACAAUUUCAUUUUUAGUUGGCUUUUCUUUAACAUAUAAGGGAUGAACUAAAUUUCUGACAUUUUGCCUUCUUUAGAACUAAAGUGUUGUGUAAAAUCUAUCACAGCCCCAAUAUUUUGAUUACAUUUUAAGGUUAACACAAAGAUAACAGCUUUUGUAUUCACACUGUAUUUGAGUAAUGCAGUCUUGCUAAACAUCAAAAGGGAAAGGAGGUUCAGACCUGAAUGAAACUUCUUUUCCACUGAAGGCUGAAGUAAUACAAAAUCACUUCUAAAAAAGAUGUGAAAUUCCAUGUGUGGUAACGAGUCUUUUAAAUCCACCAUCCGUUUCAACCCUGGAUGUUCUCAAAUGUUGAGGAUUUGAAUGACUAAUGUACUCAUCUCACAGUGCAAUUUUGGAGAGUUAUUUAAUUAAACAGUAUUGCCACAAUUAUUUAAAUGGACAUUUGACAAUGAAUACCUCUCAAACUGGCUGGAUGAUGUUUUUUAGCCCCAUUGAUCUAGCUAAAUCCAAUAGUAAGACUGACUUUUUGUUUAAUAGAAUUCUUUCUAGAAUGUUCCACUCCAUUAGUAAAGAGUUGCUCCAGUUAUCUUCUCAAGGGCGCUAGCUAAUAAAACAGAGACAUUUGUGUCUAGAUGCUGAGUGUUUACAUGUAGGCAGUUGCUCAGGCAACCCUGUUGUAAAUACGUAUGUUGUAUUAAGAAAAUGACCACCAUGUUAAACUCAGACUUGUUUAUUUUAAUCAGAAUUUUUAAUCAAUGAAGCUUAUAGAAAAACAUUCCCUCUAAAAAUGUUGAGUACUUUGCAUCUUUAUAACUACUGUAAGAACAUAAAAUACCAAAAUAAUGUGGAGUUAAAAUUACUUUUCAGAAAAUAGAGCAAGGAUUGUUUUUCUCCUGGACUCUUCAAUUAUAAAUCUGAAUUAUGAAGAUGAGCAAAAUCUGCUAGCAUUUGUAUUUGUCAGUGCAUUGCCUCAAUACAGGAACAUUCAGAAUUAUAUCAGACAUAGUUUAUAGAAGGCUCUUCAAUGGAAAGCAUCUUGCAGUGUUUGGCUGAGAGUGCAGGAAAUACUGCAGCUGUCUCGAGAAGCUUUAUUCUACCCAGGCAAGAACACCAGGCCCCUUCUUGCCCUUAUUUGCUUUGAGAGACUAACCCUGUCAGCUUGAUCAAUGGGCUUUGACAGAGGCAACAGUAAUUCAAAUCUCAUUCACAGGUAGCAUAGUGUUUAAUAGAUUCUUUUUUAACAAUCUCUGGUGGAGGGAAGUGCAUGGCAUUUGUAUUAAUUUACUGUGGAGCUUUUAUUCUCUCCCAAAGCCAAACCCCAUCCUAUCUUUAGGUAUACAUUUUAGUCAUCUGCUCAUGCUUGCCUUGUUUGCGUAUUUAUUUACAAACAACUAAUUUAUUCUUACUCAUAGGAAAGAAAAUUACUUUUCUAUUGAAAGAAUAAGAUGGGGAAGAAAAGGUGAUACAGUGUUUCAUGGGUUCACAUUUUAUGAACUGAAUAAUAUGGUUUUGACAAGAGCAUCCUAUCCUAAUCAUAUUUUGGAGGUGCAGAGGAAAGAUGAUGGUUUGGGUAAAUGCAGGCAAAUUGUAGUUCUAUUCUCUUUGCUCUUGAAUUUGACAAAUCAAUUCAUUACUGAUAAUAAAAAUGGGGUAGGUUUGCAGAGAGAGCUCAAUUCAUUGCAUCUCUCCCACACACCUUAGUUCAUGAAAAGAGUAGUUGCACGAACUUUUGUUAGUACCUGUUCCCAUCAUCAUCUCUGACAUAAACUUUUCACAUUUCAGUCAGAUUCAUUUCCCUUUUGUUCAUUAAAAAGGAUGAAGUUAAAGCAUUUACAAGAGCUUUUUCUGCAAUGUCAAAAAGAUUCCAUAAUUAAUAAUAGAUAGCAGUAAUAGGAUGUUUACUUGUUGGUGUAUUCUGGAGAGUGCUAAUACUUUACUUAGAUGUUAUUACCUUUAGAUUAGCUUACAUAAAUUAGUACUUUUGCUACUAAACCAGUGUCAGACCUAUGACUCAUGUUUACUAUAUUUGUUUUUUCUAAGUUUAGAAAUGUUACACAGUCAAUUUUCUUUGGAAAACAAUAUUAUUGUAAUCAAGCACCCACACAUGGAUAUAUGUUAGCACACAUCUAGGAAAAACUAAAAUAACUAAUAUGAUAACCCAAGGGAAUAGUUAUAGGCAAAUAAAAAUUCCCAAAUCAAUGAAGGGCUUUUCUGAGACUUAUCAUCUUGGACAGAAAUUAUGUGUAAAAUUUGUUAUUAAAAAUGACAACAGAAGACAGUUUAUAAUUGAACAGUAUCCCACUGAGCAUUUUGGGUAUAUAGAGCCGAUGUAGAUAACUAUAGAAGAGUAACUGAUACAAAGAAAACCACACAUUGUUAUAUUUAAUGAACCUGUUCAUUUCACAGAUUCAUAAGAACACACACAUACAUAAUUAUCCUUUAAUAUACAUGGCCAUGAAAUGCAAAAAAUAGAUAAGGUUGAGAGAAUAGGGAGAGAAGGAAGCAGUGCCCUGUAGUGAGGAGUCAGGGCAUACUUCAUGGAAGAUUGUGUCUCAUAUUAAGGAAGAGCAUACAAAUAGAUGGAGUUAAAGAAAGGAGGCAGCCAUACAGCAGUCACCAGCAUGUGGAAGAGCAUGAAGAUCAGAAUCAUGUUUACAGAGUGAUUUUAUCUUAGUUACACAUUCCACAUGACAUUAAGGCAAGACAUCACUGUAAGUAUGUUAGAUGUGGCGGCUCGUGUCCAGUCACCCAUUCAGUUGUGUACUGAGUUCCUUCAGUGGUGGAAUGAAGACAGGGAAUGAAUGCCAACCUAUCAAUUGAUGCAAAGGAAAAAAAUAAAAAAAUGGCUCCUGAAAACCCAUCCAGGAGAGAAUCAUUGUUUAUUUAACUAUGGAAGCAGAGGACAGUAAGUUCUUCAUUUGAUGCUUAAAGACGGUUACAAGAUGAAAAUCUAUGCACUGAAUAAAUCUACUUGAGGGAUUCAGAAAAUUUAAUAGAGAAGCUGACAUUUGGGCUGGAUUCUGAGGCUGUGUAAAUAUUAGAGUAUGUGGACAGAUGGAGGUGAAUAAUAAAGCAAGUGAAAUAAAUAUUUGUAGAUGGUAGUGAAUACACAAGGCCAUGGUUUAUGGCAGCCCGGGAGUGCUGUGCUGGUGAGAUUAGGGUUUGUGCCAUAACACUACACUUCUGAAAAGGUUUUAGUAGAGAGAUAUCCUUCAACUUAAAGAGACCAUGUCUUAACUUUAGCACCAGUUCUCUGACAUUGACUUAUAGAAUACACGCAGAUAAAAAGGUUUUAACCUAGUUAGCACACUGAUAUAUAUUCUCAUAUAUUAAAUAGCAGAGACUUUUAAAGUUGUCAGACAUUUGGAAUUUAAGGGCCUGGGAAAGCUUCUCAGUUGCUGAGCACUUGUUUGGCAAGCAUGAUAUCCUGAUUGAAAUCCCUAGAAGAUUAAAAAACACAACAAAAUAGAAGAAUUUAUUGAAUACAUUACUGAUUCACAUAAUUGAUCAUGGUUGGCUAUUUUCUUAUAAAUGUUGACUUUAAUCAGAAAAGAACAAUUGAAUGGAAACUGGCCUCUUGAUAGUCAUGUGCAUAUAAGUAGUCAGAUAAUGAUGUAUUUUAAAAAGCUUGUAGCUGUUUGUUCAUAAGACCACUGUCCAUGUUAAUACAAAAGAAAUGCAUAUGUCACACAAAAUGCAAUGGUAACAUCUACGAAUUCUGCUAUACCUCAUCCAUAUCAAGACUAAAUGCUAAUCAAUGAUACAUAAUAAUUAUCUGUAGGAAUAUCUUACUGCACAACCUAUAGCAAAUAGAACCUUAUUUCCCUUUUGUGCAUAUAGUAAUACUUCAACAUGUCUACUAAUUUUGGUAUAUUAUUAUCCAUGCAUAAUGCCUCACAUUAUGAAUCUCUCAAGGAUCUCUUCCUUCUAACCAAAGUUCCUACCCACAUAUUCUGAAAGCACAUUUAGCUAUAUACAAGUACCUUCACAUUUACCUUUUACCUGAGGUUCCCUUGGCUACUUUGUUUUCUGCAUUUUUGUUUGAUUAUGCCACUUAAUUGCUCUAAAUUAGUUGCAUUCUGUAACCAUAACUGCAGGGCCAGACUGAACCGUAUCAGCACUCUAACCUCAAAUCACUCAAAUAUCUCUUUGUUUAUGUCUUCAUGUGUUUAUGUGUUCUGUCUUUCACCAUGUACACACACUACAUUUCAAAGUAAGAAUGGUGCAUAUAUAUGUAUAUAUAAUAUAUAUAUACACCAUAUGUAACACUAAACAGACUCACCGGGUCAUAUUUAUAUACAUGUGUAAAAACAUACACACACUCACACACACACAUACUAUACUCACACACAGACAUACUACACACACACCACCACCACCUCCACCACCACCACCAACAACAACAAGAAAAAGAAGUGCCAUAAGUUUGAGAGAGAGCUGUAUAGUUUAGAAGGAAGUACAGGUUGGUGAAAAUGGUGUGGUUAUAUUUUAAUUAAAGUUAAAAACGGUGAGCACAAGUCACUUGUCCACUUAGCUUGUGACUAUUACAGCCCAAGCCAGCAGUAAUUCAACUGAACUAAUGAAAAUACAUCAGUCUCACACAGUGACAGUAUCACUUAAAAAUAAAUGGAAUGAUGUCGAGUAAAAAUUACACUGGAUGUAACUUGAAAGAAAAACUUGUAGCUUUUUAUUCUCUCUAUACUAUGAAAAUGAUGAGAUUUUUCUGUGUGGUUAAAAAUGUAAGUGACCUAGUACUGCCCCUGUACAUUUAAAAUUCAUGUCCACUGAUAUAUUGCUCACCAUUUGUGCUGGAGAAAUUAAUAGGAAUAACAAGUCAAUGGUACUGGCCUUUCAUCUCCUCCUACUCCCAUAUAUAAUCAGGCACAUCCUUCUCAUCUGCGGGGUGCUUAUUAAGACUACUGAGAAAAACUUAGAAAGGAAGCCUGAACUAGAGAGAGUGCAUGACCCUCUGAACACCACUCUCAGAGACAAACGCAGAUAAAUGAUGGUUUCUGUGUGUUACAUACAUCCCUUUGUAACAAUUUACUGCCUUCAAAAUAGCUGUUUGGCUAUUCUUGUUUGAUUGUUUUGAUUUAUUCGGCUCCAUUUUAUAUUCAUGAAUACGACCUUUACAUUUGCCUGAAAGUGCUCCUUUUUUGUGGAAUGAUACUCUUUAUAAAGGUGCCACAGUGCCGCUUAUAUAUUGGCCAUGCAACAUGGCAGAAACAGCCAGAGAUUAAGAGUAAAUAAGAAGGAAGAGUAAUCGAGGCCCAAGAGCUGGCUGUACUGAUCACACUCAACAUAAACCUACAGCAAUGAGGAAUCCUUAGCUCUUUGUAGCCUUACUUCAUACAUCUGUAAUAUAUUCCAAUGAAAAUGUGUAGCACUCAGAAGAAUCUGAUUCUUUAUGUCUGGGAUAUGUAUCUUUUAAAAUAACUGCAGAUAUCAGGGUUAUUGCAUCUUAUUAGAGGAAACAUCUGCAACUAUAUUGAAUUUAGCAAGGAAGUUGAUUUGUCAACACAUAUUUCUACCUGGAAUUUCCUUUAUUCCCUGCUUUUUCCUCCUUCUCUUCUUCCUUCUUUCUCUUCAUUAUUUGAAGGCAGCUCUGCUUAUUGCCAUUAAUGCACUGGACCUUGUUAUUUUGCAACACCCUCACAAAAUUACUUCAUUAACUAUUUCUUUAGUUUACCUCCAUGAAUUCCACAGGCAGAGUUUAAACAUCUUUAAAUCCAAAGCAAUGUGAAAUACUCCAGCAAGCUCUGGUAGCCUUUAUGGAGACACAAGGCCAGGUCUUGGGACAAUGUGAGCUAUCUCGUAGGACUAUCUGUAUGGCUACAGUGUCCUUUAGGUGAAGUGAUAUGCACAUGUUUGCGUUGUCACCAUUUGUGAGGGUUUAACUGUGUGGCACACUAAUCAGCAAGUUCAUAUUACAAACUCCCUUAGAACAUAUCAUAUUGCACUGGCUAAUCCUACAGACAGGCUAUUACAUGAUAACCCUCUCUGGUAGCUUUAUUUACAAACAUGAUUUUUUUUACUCAUACUUUAUUCAGUUUUUCUUUGUGACCUAUGAGUAUGAAAAGAAAACUACCUUAAAAUUUUAUUUUUUUCAUCCCAAAGUCUCUUAAAGGAAAAUCUUAAUAAAUAGAAAGUUCUUUCAUCUAACUUUCUGGAAAUAUAAAAAAGCCAUUAAUACAAAGACUUGUACUGCCUAAAACUGAUUGCUUGUACUGAAGCUUUUUAUUCCAGCCCCACAACUAAAUCAGUGUUUGUGCCCCUGUACUCACAAAGUCUUUAUAAAUUUUUUCAAACAAACUGGCAAUGAGUUUUAUUAUUUUCUCAAAUUCUAUAUAUGCCAACAGUAACAGUUUACAAUAUUGUUUUUUAAAAUAUUUUUGUGGGUAGUUUUGUGGGUAGAAUUCAUUUUAUGAAAAUCUAAAAGAGACCAGGAGAGUUGGUUUGCAAGACUAUUAUGAAGGGAAAUAUCUCCAUAAAUCACCACAGAAAGUUGUUAAAGUGACAAGAGUCUUCAUAUACUUAGUUGAAGCAGCUCUAAUUCAUGACAGAUAAGUGUGUUACAUACUUGGAAUUAGAGUUGCCUAAAUCUUCAUGAAGUUUUCUAUUUAAUGAUGAAACAUUAUAAGACUUCCUACAAAACAUAAAAGUAGUAAAGAGUUUUGAGAUUGUUAGUGCAAAGAGGAAAAUAAUUAGUGCUUAUAGAUGCAAUUGCAUCUACACGCACCCCCAAAUUUGUUAUGAUAAGUAUAGAGAAGUCCAGUGAUGAAAACGCAAUUCUCUUCAAAACAUUUAUGUCAGAAGUUUAGAAUGAGAUGCACAGACUAUAGUUGUCAAAUGAUAGAAAAUCAAAUACAGUUAAUUUCAAAUAUUAAAUGGAAAAAAUAAAAUUAUUUAUCUUCUGUAAUAUAGUAUCCUGUAAUAUCUCUCCAUAAGUGUUUUUUUUUGUAAAAGUGGGUGGAAAGAAUUAUGGAAUGGUAGAAACCUGUAUCACGAGACAGGCUUUAGCUUGUGUUUCUUGUUCUAUGCUUUCUAUGGUAGAAUUGAGUUCAAGGAUAGUGAAGGUAAUGGAAAGGAAGACUUUAUGGACACUGCUUGUAGAAACUAAUAUGUGAUUGUGAAACUUAAAAUGCAGAUGAUCCCAACUAACUUAUAGGUUACGAUCUAGAAAAUAAAAGAGAGUUGUUAAAGUUCUUUUGAAGGAAGACAUAACAGUAGCUGUUUAGGCUCAGCCUGCACUGAUGGUUGCCAGGUUAAAGGUGGUAUAAUUGCUUUUGGAGGAUAAGAUCUGAGUUAUACAAAUGAAAAAAUUCUCAUAUCAAUGGAUUAAAAUAUAUUUCAUCUCAAAAAUGGUGUGGUGCAGUGAUAGGAUACUGUGCAAUACUUGAUAGCAAUGGAAUAAGUCCAGGUAUAGAGACUGCAAGAAAGUAAUGUAACAUCCCUGGCCUUGGAAGUAGAGCAGGAGAGGACCAAGGCAAGAGGCUGGUGUGGAAGCUGUAGAAGUUCCCACACUAGAGACACUGUUAGCUUGUUUUUCCAGAUCCAAUUUACACAAAGCCAAGGACCAUUCAUUUUUAUUUUAAAACAAUCAAACAUUUUAGAUGCAUUUUAUAGAUUGCCAGUCAAUCCAACUUUUAUUUGGCAGUUUGAGUGUCAAAAAUUUGGCAAGGUAAAUCACAAAUAGAGAACUGGUAAAAGGAGGAAUGUUGUAUACCAGAUGUCAAAAGUUGCUUAAAAGACAGAGUGGUUAAGAGUUUGGUAUCAUUAUUAUGUUUGAGCAAUAAACAAAGAAUAGCAAGCUACAAAAUAGAUCCACAUAUGUGUGGAUAAUUAAUUUUCACAGCUUCGUUAGAAUUCAGUAGGAAAUAGACUGUUGACUGUAGCCAAUAAAUAUUCUGAGAUAAUUGGGGGUGGUGGGAAUAGAAUUAUACCUUACAGACUGAACAAAAUAGAUUCCAGGUAAGUUAAAGAUUGAAUAUUCAAGGUUAGAAUAAGAAACCAGUUGGCGAACAUUCUGACCUCAGAGUGAACCACUUCUAUCACUCCUGAAAAACAUCAAGACAAACAAUGAAAAUGACUUAAUAAAUUGACUUUGUUGACAUUAGAGCCAUCAGUAGCCUAGGAUGCUCCAUAAGUUUAAUGAGGGGAAAAAGCAAAAGAGUAUGAAAAUUACUGGGAUAUGUUGACCAACUUUAAUUAAUAAAAUGUAGAGCUCAGCAUGAAGAGAUAUCCAAAUGAUGAGUGAACACAUGAAAAGAUGCUCACUGUCACGGCUAAUUAGGAAAUUGGUGAUUAGUGCACCACUUAAGCGCUAUUUUUCAGCCCCGAUAUUCUAACACAGAGUAACGUACAGAAAUAUUGAAUUCAUAUAGAACUGGAAAUUUUAAUAUACUGUGGAUGAGUAACAUAGUUCUGUAGAAUCAACAGUUUAGAAAGAAACUUUACUAAACCAUUUGAGUUCAAGAUGGUCACAGCUUAUCAUGUAUUAGGUUUCCACAGACAGACCCUCUGCAGCUCUCAACUGAAAAAGUACUGUGAUAAACCCAAGAAUUCUGACAGAAAGUCUGAUGGCACCUGUCAUAUCCUUUAACAUAGCUUAGAUUCAUACAUUUUUUGGGGGGAGGGGUGGGAAUGCUGAGGGAAUCUUUUCAGGAAAAGACUGUUGGUUAAGUCCUUUGUCAUAUUAUGUCAUAUUAUAUUUUAAAAUAAUAAAAAUGAUCUUUAAUCCUGUUUAACAGAAUUUCUAAUAAAUUCAAACAUAUAUUUGUUCUUCAAAAAAAAUCCAUACUUUUUUUAUAACCUACGAUUACAUUGCACUUAAGCAAAAGUGAGUUUGGUACACAGUGGAAGAAAAUGUUAAUUUUUAAAGGCAUAAAAACUGAUUGCAAAUUGAAUAUUGUGAAAGUAACACCCAAUAGUAAAAGUAAAUACACCAAAGGAAAUACAAGCUGGAGUCUUGCUUUACAUGCUCUCUGUUCUUUAUCACCUAAGCCUUCCCUAAAAUAGUAAGACCAAUUAACCAGUUUUCUUCCACUACUAAAUCUUUCAGAUAACUUCUCAAAUAUCUUAAAAUUGGACCAAAAUAUUAAAAUGUACUCAGGUAUAUACCCUAUUUGUAUUGGUAGUGUAUGAGUUGAAGAAUGAUGAUGUUGCUUGGUUUGCUAUUUCCUCAUCACACAUCUGUAGACCGCCUUCACUUUGUUUAAAAAGUUUUAUCUAGCUAGGACACUAAUUCCUUGGUUAAAGCUAUUCAUCUGUGGGGCAGUGGACUGUGAAAAGUGGCCUGGUCCCUGGUUGAGCUAAGGACAGAAGCCCCAGAGACCCUGAAGGGAUGGUAGGAGCUCUGCCUAUUCCCGGGCACCAGGCCUUUGCCACUAUUCACAGUCCCCACAGACUUGUGGCCAUUGGUCAUGUAAGGGCACUACCCCAAGCCCCUCAACAUGUAGGCUCAAGACAAAGAUCACCGUUCUAACAAGGUACCUAAAGACAUGGAGGACUGAGCCAAUAAGUUUUUCUUCCCAGGCACUCCUCCCUGAAAAAGGUAUUUAAUCUCAGGCCCACCCUGAGAAGAGGGAUGUGGUUUUAUAUAUCUACUUUCCACCAUGACAAUAAAUGUCUUGAGGAUGGCUUUGUCAGGCAUCAACUGGAGGAGAGGCCGUUGGUCCUAUCAAGGUUUGAUGCCCUAGUGUAGGGGAAUUUUACAGUGAGAAGGUGGGAGGCAGUCGGUGAGUAGGUAAGGGAGCACCCUCAUAGAAGCAGGGGGUGGUUGGUGUUUCUAGAGGGGAAACCAGGAAAUGGGAUAACAUUUAAUAUGUAAAUAAAUGCAAUUAAAGAAUGAGAAAAGGAAAAAAAAGUCUUAAAACCAUUGAUUGUCACUUUUCUUUGGGAUCUGCUAUGGGGAACUAUGGAGAAGGCCUUUGCCUGUAGAGCCAUCAUCUAGUCUCCCAUAGAAGGCUGCUCUGUGCUCCCAGCAGGACUGCCACCAAGCUUAAGAUACUGCCCAUCAAGCCAAAGACUCUCCCGAUGAACCAGCUGGCUCCCCCCAUCCCCCGAUCCUCCCUGCCCAUCUCUUUUAUGACUUCCAGUGGUGCCUCGGUGUCGAAGAGCCAUGGAAGUCCAUGGCCACAGCUUCUCCACAGGCCCAGGGACUCCCAAGCCAGCUCUGGCUGACCUGCCCCUCAGUCUGCACUUUCCCACCACAGAGUAGUGUCCUGGGGCUUCCCUACAGCCCAGCACUCACACAGCGAAGGCAUGGGGAAGCAGUCAAACACCCCGAAUGGUGCCUCCCCAAGCAGUGGCCAUGCCCUGUGCAGGAGCAGAUGCAAGCCCCACAACACUGUUGUCAUAACAUUUUAUUUCAUAAACAUCAGAAUUUGUUGGCUAUCGAAGGAAAUAUGAUUUUUUUACUUGUGAUGUAAAGGACCUAUAAUAAUCCACCAGUAAGUUAACAAUGUUAUUAAGAGGUAUACAAUCAGUUGAUGUGUUAAGAGAUUUAUUAAAGGACAUCAUUUCACGAAUGGAUAGUUAUUGAUAAUUAAAACAAGAUUAUUCCCUAGUAAAAGUAAAAUGCUCACAAUGUACUUAUUUUUGUCUUUAAAAAAACACCUAUAGCUACCUAAAUUCAUUCACUGAAGUGGAGAAAGCUUCAAUAUGAAAUGAACACUAAACUUGUCAUGUGUUUCAGAAAUGGCACCACAACAGUAUUCAUGCAGAAUCUGCAGUAUUGUUGAGUAAAGAAGAAAAACCUUAAAAGGAAUGUCCAGUACUAAAUAAUCCAUGCUGUAGUUUCCAGAGAGAAGUGCUUUCCAAUCCUCUUCUAAGAUACUUUUUCAGUAGUAGCUUUUAAGUAUGUAGGAGUUCUGAUCAAAGAAAGUACACAGAAUAUAAUAUCCUAUAUAUUUACUCCCCAAAUUGUCAAUACUUUAUUUCUUAGUUUCUACACCAAACAUGAAUAACCAUAUAUUUUGCACAUUCUGAUUAUUACAGUUAAUCAUUACAUCUCACAAAUAAAAUCAUAAUGAACAUGGAUAAUUAUAUAUUAUUUUAUUUUAUAAUAUAGCUAUUCAAUUUCUUUUGCUUGUAGGUUGGCCAAGCAUCCCAAUGGCACAGAAUGACUUGUAUUUCACAUUUCUGUCUCUUUAAAUAUUACAUAAUUAUUAUUUUAGGUUUCUUUAUGUGGUUUUUGGCCAAAAUAGCUGAGAUUAUGUGAUGUUAUCUAAAGAACAUUAUCAAGGUUCAUUUUUUUCCAUUACCUAACUUAUUUUAAAAAAGAGAGUCAGAACAAUGUAAUACCCUUGUAAGUAAUCCCUUUAAUAGAAAACAACCCUGGUUAAAGACAAAGACAAAAAAGGUUUUGUCUUUGUCUUCUUACUUCAAGUUUAAAACUAAUUUGUAGAAGGUAGAAAAUAGAUAACUUGUUACAUAAAACAUUAGAAACGGGUCUUGACAGUUCUAAAACUCAGACAGGAAACCAAAAUAUAGUCACACAAAAGCUUUUCAGUAAAACUAAGUGGCACACUAUAAAAUUGGGGUCUGAUCACCAUAAAAAUAUUGUGGUGAGAAGGACACAUCAAUGCAUAAACAGAAUACUGUAGGUUGUGCUUAUGUUCCCCCAUCAAAUUAAAAAGAUUUUAUUUUGAAUUAUAUGAAUAUGAUCUAAUAUUUUCACUGUAAUUCAGAAACUUACUAAUAUUUUAAAAUCAAGGAAGCUGAUUUAAAAAGUGCUGAAGUCUACUGGAAAACGAUGAAACUGGAAGUGAUUACAUUAAAGUGUUAGCUCAGAGUCAGGCAAAUACUUCAUUUGUUCUCUCAUAUCAGAUUGUAGCUGUAUGUGAGUGAGGGGAAAUACAGAAUGCAAUUAGCAUGGGGACCAUUUUUAGAAGGAAAAAGAGGUCUUAAGGGGGAAAAGUUAGGAGGGCAACAUGGGAUAUAAAAGUAGAAUGGAUUAUAUCCUGGGUAUUCUAUACAUUUUUGGAUAAUUUCCACUUAUUAGUGAAUACAUACUAUGCAUGUCAUUUUGGAUCUGAGUUACCUCACACAGGAUGAUAUUUUCUAGUUUCAUCCAUUUGCCUGCAAAUCUCAUGAUGUCCUUGCUCUUUUUUUUUCUUUCAUAAUUUACAUCAUCGUUUCAACCAAUGAUCAAUAAUACAAUUGGAAAACUCAAAACCAAACAUUCUCUGAAAAGUAGAAAAAGUGCCCCUGGGCCUGGUGGUGGGAGAUGAGAAUCACUGCUGGACAAAGCAGCCUGGGCAGAAUGGAAUUUCCCUCCUGUCUAACACCGACCAAGGAGACUUUAUAUUUUUUCACUAGGUCCUUUUUAGGAUUAGAGACAGAUGCUAAAAGAUUUAUUUUGUUAGCCUGUUGGACCCAGAUAUUAGGACAAAUGUUAUAAAAAUUAGAAAAAUUAAAGAUAUAAGUAGGUCCUAGUUGCUGGACCUAAGUUAAAAAGGUCCUUAAAACCAGAGAACCGGUUAGGACAAGAAUUUUUGUAUAAACUGAAAGCCACUGUCACCGUCUUUGGGGAUUAGACUCAGUCAGAUUUAAAGAUAUCCAGAAAAAAAUGUUGUGUCUUACCCUCUGUGAAAAGACUAUCUUCUUGCUGAAAAUACUGCUCCAAUCAAUGGACACCAUUGGGCUAUCUCUCAGAGUGACAGCAAAGACUUUUUGGGGGUACAGGCAGAAACCCAGGACUGGCCCUGGAUUUCUAUAAGUUCCUAUAAUUAAGUUCCUAUAAUUGUUCAACUAACCAGUUCAGCUACCCCUGGCCAAAUUAAACAAUACCCAAUGACCCUAGAAACAAAAAAAAGAAAUUGCAGUCCAUCUGCCUGGCUUGAAGACACAGGCAUCCUAGUGCCCUUCCUGUCACCCAGCAAAACGCCUCUGCUGCUUAUGAAGAAACCUGGGACCUCUGAUUCUCAGGAGUCUACCUCCUCCAGAGAAGCAGGUGUACACUGUCUUGGAACUGAAAGAUGCUUACUUCAGUCUGCCAUUGAUGUCCUUGUUCUUAAUAGGUGAAUAGUAUUUCAUUGUGUAAACAAACCACAUUUUCUGUAUCCAUUCUUUUAUGGUGGGACAUCUGGGUUGUUUCCAGCUUCUGGCUAUCACACACAUGGCCUCUGUGAACAUAGUGGAAGACAUGCCCAUGAAGCAUGGUGAGGCAUCUUCUGGGUACGUGCCCAGGAGUGAUAUAGCUGGGUCUUCAGGCAGAUCUGUUUCCAAUUUUCUGAGGAACCUCCAGAUUAAUUUCCAGAGUGGUUGUAGCAGUUUGCAAUCCCACUGGCAAUGGAGGAGUGUUCCUCUUUCUUCAUAUUCUUGCCAACAUCUGCUGUCACCUGAGUUUUUGGCCUUAGCCAUUCUGAUUGGCGUAAGGUGGAAUCUCAGGAUUGUUUUCAUUAGCACUUCACUGAUAAGUAAUGACUUUUAACAUUUCUUUUAGUAUUUCUCAGAUGUUGGAGAUUCCUAUGUUGUAAAUUCUCUAAGUCAAUAACCCAUCUUUUAAUUGGGUUGUUUUGAUUUUUUUUGGAGAUUAGCUUCUUGAGUUCUUUAUAUACUUUGUUUAUUAAUCCACUAUCCGAUGUUGGGUUAGUGAAGAUUUUUUUUCCAUCUGUAGGUUGCCAGUUUGUCCUAUUGACUAUGUCCUUUGCAUUACAGAAGCUUUUCAGUUUCAUGAGGUCUCAUUUAUCAAUUCUUGAUCUUAGAGCCUGAGGAAAGAUAAAAUCCACACAACUCAAGAAGGUUAACAAGUCAAAGGGCCCAAGUGAGGAUGCCUCAGUUCCGCUUGAGAGUGAAAAGAAAGCAAUCAGGGAGCACAGAAGGAGGGAGGGACCUGGGUGGGAAGGAGAAAGGAACAUAAUAAGCUACUGUCUGUGGGUGGAGGAAGGCUCUGGCAUGAAGCUCUGAGAACCAACAGAAAGACUGGAAACAGGCAACCUUGGGAGUUAGAAGGUGGGGAAGGGGAAUUCUAGAAUGUACCAGAGACCUGGGAGUUGACAGACACUCAGAGUAAGGGACUUUAGAUGAAAUGCCCAACAGUGGGGAGAGGGGACUUGUAGGACUAGUAGAAAAACAGGGCAAUAAGUAGAGGGAUGGGGUUGCCAUCCCACAGUCAAAAACUCUGACCCCAGAAUUGUGCCUGUCUAAAAGAACUGCUGGGAGUCCCCAGUUUCUGUUCUCUGGUUGAAUUAGAGAAAGGCUGGAAGAAGCUGAGGAGGAAGAGGGCAACCACAUAGGAAGACCAGCAGUCACAACUAACCUGGACCCCGAAGAUCUUUCAGACACUGAGCCACCAACCAGGCAGCAUACAGCAGCUGAUAUGCAGUUCCUGACACAGUUCCUGAUAUACAGCAGAGGACUGCCUGGUUGGGCCUCAGUGACUUGAGGCCCCAGGGAGUGGGGAGGUCUGGUGGGAUAGAGGGACAUCGUCUUGGAAACAGGGAGUAGGAGGGAUGGGAUGAGGAGCUGUCAGGGUGUGGAGCAGGAGAGGGAUAACGACUGUGCGGUGUGAAAAAAGGGGGGAUUAAAGAAAGAUGAUAAUAAUAAAUUUUAAAAAUGAAAAAAAGUAGAGUAAAGGCAGUGGGGUGGGAUAAAGGAACAACAGCAUAGGUUACUAUCCAAGAGUGUGUUGGAAGAAUAUCAGCAGAAGCAAAGUGGGUAUGAUACUGCGUAGUGAAACUCAAAUCUUUGUAUCCUAAGUUUAAAAGAUUAACUUUUUCCCCACCAUUAUCCCAAAGGUGGCUGAACAAAGUUUCAGCUAAAAAAAGAGCUUUUGAAAAGGAAGAUAUUUAUAAUUAUGAGUCUAUCAGAAUUUGAUUUUACUCACUUUUCAAUAAUAGGUUUAAUUAGGAUGUAUGGUUGACAUUAGAAACUGCUUUAUUCCAUCCUUUUCCAUAAGAUGAUAUGAACAAUUAAUUAUUAUACAUUUCAGCAUUUUUGAAAGUCAUGCUCUUUUUAGUCUUUAUUAAAUGCCACUUGAAUUAUAUUGUUUGUAGGUUCAUGUCCUUUAACCACACUAGUUGGGUAGAACAUCAGGUAGUUUUUGUUUUGUUUUCUUUGUUGGUUGGUUGGUUUGGGAUUUUUUUUUUUUUGCUAUCCUUUUAAAAAGUGAAAAGCCUAACUGCACUUUUGUUUUUGCCAGCCAUAUUUUAAAAGAUUACAUUCUCAAUCUUGACAUUCAAAGGAGAUAUCCCUUGAUGCUGCAAAUGUUCUAGCAGGAUUAAGGGAAGAGAACUUAGUGUCUCUAAGAGCUCUUCACCCUAUCUACAAUAUGCUUAAUUCUCAGUGGUGGGCUGGAAAAAAGCAUAGCGUGCAACCCUCUGACUUCAUCAGAGGAGUCAGUUGUGUCAGUGUUACAAUGUUAAAUUUACUAAGUGGUAGAGAGAAUUAUUGCUGCAAUGUACUGCUUUCUCAAUGUUGCAAUAACUGUAAUCAAAUUUCAAUCAUCACAAUCGUUUUUCCUUAAAAAUUUUGAAAUGAAAAUUAAGUAACUAUAAAUACGAAAUGUUAUUACCACGUGCUCUCUUGAACUCAGUUAAGUCACCACAUGAAAACACCCCACACAAUAACCUCUGAUCCAAUUGGUAAGAUAUAAUUUGCCCAUCUGGACAACAAAUAUUCUGUACACACCCAUUCCUUAAAAAUAGUCAUAACAACCUGUAACUAUACACAGAGAAGAACCUUAACAUCCGUCGCCAUGUUCUCUCAGCUUUUUCUCAUUCUGGCCUCCUCUCUCCUCUUCUCCCUCCCUUAUAAACCUCUGCUCCUGUCUCCCUUCCUUCUUGUCCAAGGACAGGCCAUGUUUUGUCUUGUCUGCCUUCACCUGCAUAAUGACAUCAACCUACAAUGGAACUCCAUAAUAAUUUCCUAAAUGGCGUACCUUCUCAAUCAGUGUUUUUCUACAUAUUACAUUUAUCAUAUUCAAAAACGCUUAUUGUCCAGGAAUCAUGUGUAUAGAUUUGAUAUCUUCUUUCAAAGGUUAUAAUAAAUAUUAUUAACCUUUCUGACUAUGUAGUUGAAAUAUUGACCCCUAAGGAGAAAGACUACAGAUUACAUAUCGUGUCCACAAUGACUAUAAAAACAGAUUGCAGGUAAAUAUUUCAAGAUGGGAAAGUAUGUGAUAGCUUCUUUGAUAUGUACAGUGAUGCGAUUCCACUGUACUAAUAGACUUGAAUGUGAAAUGAUUUAAGAGUAUGGCUAUUAAGCUUUCCCAUUGAGAAUUUAAAACUCAAGAGUGGGGUGUUUGCAUCAGCUUGCCUGACUGAACAAUUGAUUAACAAGUGUUAAUCUUAACUUAGCAAUUUAUAAAAGAGAGGAUCAAACAAAAAAAAGGACUGUGACACCCUGCGCAUGUGGACAUUUCUCUUUGUUAUCUUUUCCUCUGCAUGCAGAAAAGCCAAGCUUUGGUCUAUAAAUGACCGUGACUAACCGGCAGACGACAUAUUUCGCGCCUAACAGGAAGAUGAUCUUAGAAGAAUACCAGGAAGUAGCGAACAAAGUUGAAAAAGAAAAAAAUAAAGGAUUUUGCCAGCUAGUGAAGCAUUUGAAUCUGUUAAUCAACUUCACUCUGAGCUUUCCUUUGUUUGCAAAUGUAGACACUCCAUGCUUAGCCUUGUAGGGGCUUGUUAUUUGAGACAGAAAAACUUGGGUCAAUUGAAUUUCUGCUUUAUAUAAACUGUAUUCUCUGUGCUAUUUUCUUUCUCCAUUUUUCUUUUAAUGCCAGACUUGUGUGAAAUGCAAACAUGGAAUGUUGCUUUCAUUUAUUUUAAGUUGAAAAGGAAAGCUUAAAAUUUCGUUGAAAGUCUAAUUCUGACAUACAUUAUUUCUAAAGACUUCUUAGGUAUUACUUGCUCGUAUCCUUAAGAAGGUGUGAUGUCCCAGUGUAGGGAAAUGCCAGGGUAGGGAGACAGGAGUGAGUGGAUGGUGGGGGAGCACCCUCAUAGGACCAGGGGUAGGAAGGAUAGUUUAAGGGGUUUCUAGAAGGGAAACCAGGAAAGGGGUAACAUUUGAAAUGUAAAUAAAUAUAAUAUCUAAUAAAAUAUUUUAAAAAGAAGUCUAUUUUUGUAGCUGGGAUGUGUCUAUGUGUUUCAUAAUGAAUACCCAUCACCUUGUAUCACACACACACACACACACACACACACACACACACACACACACACACACACACACACAGUAGGGGGAGAAAGAGAGAGAGAUUUACUAUAUGGAUACCAUUGUUCCUGAUAACAUUAUUUGGGUUUGGGAAGAUAUGUAUAUUAUGUGAUGUAUGCAGAGUAACCAGUAUAGAGACAAAAAUUGGUAUCUGUGGAAGCCUUGUAUUUCCUUUGCCAUCUUUAGAUGCACUUAUAUUUAUUCAGGCACAUAAAUAUAUAUACUGUUGGGUAUCUCUCCUAAAACAGGACAUUACAGUAACAUUUCAGAAGAUCAGAAGACCAAAUGGGUGCAACUGAAAGCCACAGAAUAAUACAUAUUUGAUCAAGAUUUACUUGUACACUAAGAGAUGAUUGGCAGGAACAAGCAAUAUUAAGCACUCAGCUCUGCUCAGAGGAACUACACUGAAUACAGAGCCAAGAAUACCAUCUGUUGAAUAUGAAAUUCUUGGAUCAAGACAUUAUAGAUACAUUUCCCCAAACAGCAGGGACAGAAGUCUUUCUGGAAACAAAAUCACAACAGGGUUGCAGAAACACCCAGUGAGAGAGAGGCAAAUAACUGUUCUCUGCAUGGCGGGGAGCAGACUCACUCACUGCCAGUGCCGUGUGAUUAAUUACCAGGCACGGUUCACGAUGGUGGGAGUAAAUAAAUGUGUGUUAGGCAGUCACUCUGCUCAAGUAAUUCUAAAUCAGUGUAUCAACUAUGAGCCAUAGUGGUAUCAAAAUCUUUCCACCUGCUGUGAUAUCUGCAGAAUUUUUCACCCUCAGAAUGCACAAUACUGCCUGCCACACAUUGUACUUUUUAAAGAUAGCAGAAUGAUGUCUUGUGUGAUAUUCACUGGGAAGACACAAUCAAAACUGUGGGGGAAUGAUUGAUGGGUUCUUAUCCCCAAGGUUUAACUCAAAUGCAAUUAUAUACUUUCAUAUUUGUAUUGUUUGUUCUUACAACAACUGUAACACAUGUAUGUACAUCGAUAUGAUAAACUGACUUACUUUUCGGGCAGUUGUUUAAUAUCCAAAGAAGGAUGGUUAUUGAUAAGGAAAUAGCCUAUGCAAAUGAAAAGUGGCAGAGAUUGGCAGGUAGGAAGUGACACAGUGGGAGUAAUAAGAAUGGGAGCGUAUAUGUUAAUUAAGAGACUCAGAUUUUCCUAACUGUACCCAUUAGGAAAGCUGGAAACUUCUUUAAAAGGGGAACAAGAAUACCCUUGGGAGGGAAUAGAGAGGCAAAGAUUAAAACAGAGACAGAAGGAACACCCAUUCAGAGCCUGCCCCACAUGUGGCCCAUACAUAUACAGCCACCCAAUUAGACAAGAUGGAUGAAGCAAAGAAGUGCAGGCAGACAGGAGCCUGAUGUAGAUCUCUCCUGAGAGACACAGCCAGAAUACAGCAAAUACAUAGGCGAAUGCCAGCAGCAAACCACUGAACUGAGAACAGGACCCCUGUUGAAGGAAUCAGAGAAAGAACUGGAAGAGCUUGAAGGGGCUCGAGCCCCAAAAGUACAACAAUGUCAAGCAACCAGAGCUUCCAGGGACUAAGCCACUACCUAAAGACUAUACAUGGACUGACCCUGGACUCUGACCUCAUAGGUAGCAAUGAAUAUCCUAGUAAGAUCAUCAGUGCAAGCGGAAGCCCUGGGUCCUGCUAAGACUGAACGUGAUUGUUGGGGGGAGGGCGGCAAUGGGGGGAGGAUGGGGAGGGGAACACCCAUAAAGAAGGGGAGGGGGAGCGAUUAGGGGGAUGUUGGCCCGUAAACCAGGAAAGGGAAUAACACUCGAAAUGUAAAUAAGAAAUACUCAAGUUAAAAAAAAUAAAAAAAUUUUAAAAAAAAUUAAAAAAAAAGGAAGGCUGGAAACCACUAUAAAGGAGAUGGAAAUGUUGAGUUCAGAAUUCAUCUUAAUUGUCCCCUUUUCUGCCAUUCAAACUAAUUGUAUGAAAACAUUUUAUCUUUGCUUUGAAAGUUGUGAUCCAGUCCCUGAACUUGGACAGUAGGAAGCAGUUAGUCAUUAUUAAUACAAAAUAGAUAACCAUUAAUUGGUUAAUGGAAGGAAUGGAUGGUUCUGUGGCAAAGGGGUGCUUCUUAGCAUUUUACAUGUAUUAACUCACUGUUCCUACAGUGACAAGAGUCACAUAGCAAAUUGAUUUGAAGCCAGCUUUCUUUCUCCGGAUUCUGUAUUCUCAUCACCCUUAUUACCUAGUGAAGGAGCUAGGAUGUUUUGCAACAUAUGCUUUGGAGUCUGUGCAUGCCUAUUGUGGGGGUUAGUUUUCACAUGCAUUAGACAGUGCAUUAGCUGAGGACACUGUGUUUUUCUGGGUUAUUCACAGAAACAUAACCAUAAAAUGGAUCAGUCUCGGAAGACACAAAGGAGUUUGCCAGUUCAGGGUAACAUUUGCCAGCAAAAUCUAAGCAGUGUGCACAGCACACAGUAGCUUGGAUGAACUCAGUUUUAUGAAUCAAUUCCAAACGUUAAGGUCCUUCUUCUUAACUGUCCCCCAUCUUUUCUUUAAGUCUCAUGCAUGACAUAGAUUCACUUUUCAUUGUAUUCUUGCUUGCCUUCUUCCAGUUUCCUGAAUUCUUGAAAUCAUAAGACACGGUUUAAUAGAUUUUAUAAAUUAAACUACAUCUGAUAAAAAAAAUACAUGUCAAGGGUAUCAGUGAUAAUUAUCAAAAUUAACAAUGGAAAGAACAUCUUCCGAAUGAUUUGACUUGAAACAUUAUUGCUGACUCCUUAAAAAUGAAUACUUGAUGUUAAGAUAUGAAAGAGUGCCACUUCUCUUUGAUAAUUUUUGUGCUAAUGCCUGUCAUCCUUUCAACUUCCUGAAAGUAUUCAAAAAUAACUAAUCCUAAUUCUUUUCUCUUACCUAGUAAGUAUAAUAAAACCUUUCAGUACUUUAAAUGUUUUUAAUAAUAAGGUAAUUCGGAGUUUUGCACUAGCAUUUGUUUUGAAGGUAUUAAAAGAAUAUAGCCUAUUUAAGAGCCUAAAAUACCCUACACUUAUCGUUCAUGCCCUCAUCUCCUAAUAUGGUCCCUUUGCACUACAGUUUUGAAGUAUUUCAGACAUGUUAUCUUGUAACUCUGCCCGAGUCAAAAAAAAACAUUUAGAAACACUGCUUGUUUAUUUAAGAUAAGUAAAUUCCUGGUUAUUCAUCACCUCUCUCUCACGUUGGAGAUGUCCACAUGCCAGUGAUAUGAUGUGUUGGCAAAAGUUUGCAAAGUUAUAGAAGGAGAUACAAAGUGGAAAAUGUUUUUAAAUUAUAAAAUGUAAAAAUGUUUUGAUAGAUAAAAUGCAUAAGUGUAUUUUAGGAACAGAAAAAGAACUUGUAAUAAAAACAGUAAGAACAUGCAUGCCUUUUAAAGGCCACCUUGCUAUUUUAACAGUUUAAAGAGUUUUGGCUACUUUACCAAAAUUAUAAAAUCCCAAGGUUUUUUUAUUAUUUUUAUGUUUUACUUUUCUUGGCACUACUUGCAUGUGAAACUAAGCAGGAUUAUAAAUUUUUCUUCCUUCUGACAGGUAUUAUGUCCAAAAUGGCCAAAUCAUAACUGUGUUUUUUAUAUUGUUUGAGUCCCAGCUUAGUACGAUUAAGGCUAAUAUUAGAACAGUGACACAUUUAGAUACGAUUUCUUACUCGAGAAACUUUAAAACCAUUUUAGAAAUGCUCUCUGCAACAAUUUUCAUUUUCCCCCCAUAAUUCUGCUUAAUGAUGCUCCUUGAAUAGUAAUUUCAGCUAAUGGAGUUGUAACAUUAUAUUCAGAGCACCAUCGACUGAGUCUUAGAAUAAGGGACGACAGAGAAAAGGCUAUGUUAAUGAGCUCCGCGGUUUAGCAUUCAUUCACUUCUGUUGAGUAAAGUGAGCCAUUUUCUCCUGAAGACCCCAGAUAACUUAGAGAGAGUUUAGAACUGCUCGUCAAAUGCAAUUUGACCUCAUAAUUACCACUGAAGAUGUGAUUAAGGAGCACCUGACUCAGAUGUCAUGUACAUAUGCACGCCACAAGUCAUCACCCCUUCCUCUCCUUUGAUUUUAGUGGCUGAUUGCCAAGUCAGCAGGCUCUGAGAACUGACUUUCCAUUUAUAGUUUAUUCAGGUCAUUACACUUACACCGUGCGGGGUAAAAGAAGAGGUGGUCUUUUAUGUAUGCAAGGAUCAAAUGCAUGUUCUAUUCUCUGAGACUGUUUUAAAAUGAAAAGAACCUAAUCAUUUCCUACAAGUAACUUGUAAGUUACCUUACAAGUAAAUAUAAAUGCUAUUAAAUACUGGGGAAAAAUAUCAAACAAUAUGAAUAUUUACUGAUACCUUUCCUGAAGAUUUAAAAAUCUCUGUAUGGUUUUUAUCCACCAACUUAUGGAUUUUGUUGAGGAUUUUACUGUUUCAGACACAUUAAACAGUAAAAAUUAAAAUAUGUUUUCAAUUUGUCAAGACACUAUAAUUGUUCCUUAUUUGACUAAGAUAAUCGAGCUUGGCAAAUAUGGAAAACUUAUUAUUUAUGUUGGGUGAUUGCCAUACUAUUUCAUGAUGAUAUAUCAAACUUUUAUGUUCAUUUACUGGUUUGUGGUCUACAUAAUUAAGUCUUAAUAAAAUGAAAAGGGUAGAAUAAAAAUAAAGUUGUUGCAAAGAAACCUUUGUAUCACUGUUAGCUCCCAUUUAUUCUCUCAGGUACUUUUAAAAUCAUAAACUAAACCCCGUUAAACUAUAUUAUAUAAUUACAUAUAAUGUAGAAUUCUUGAUCUACUUACCUAUUUAUAAAAUAAAGCUUUGAUUCAACUCAAGAACUUCAGGAUGCAGAAACACAUGUGAGAUUCAAGAUGAGUCUAAUCAAACACUGGGGCAAAAUGGAUGAUUAAAAUAAAUGAAAACUAGAAGUAUUUAUAAUUGUUGAAUUGUGAAAUUGCAAUCAGGCUCUAUAUGAAGUACAAUGAUUUAAAUUUUGGCAUUUUUUUCACCAAUCUGUCACCUGCUGAAGUAACUAUUCUUUCCCUAAAGGAGUGCACACAUUUUCCUCAUAUUCUUCCUCAUUGCAUAUUCUCAAAAGGGCCUGGAACACUGCUAAUGCUCAACAGCGUUCUCUCUCUAUUUCCUAUGGAUACUAGGAAACAUGUUAUUUCUGUAUUUGUCAACAAUGACAUUAUCCACUUCCAUACAAACAUAAAAGCAAGGGCCAACAUUUUAUACUUUGUUAGCUAUUACGCUGAAAUGUUAAGUGAAAUAUACAUGACCUUGGGAGGAUUAGAGCCAGCAAAAGGGGAAAGUAAGGAAUUUAUGCUGUAGACAAGUGUUCAGGGCCUCCCCUGAGCUUGAUGAUAUCUCUCUUCUUCAACGGAAACUGGCUCCUUUUCUCUGAGAUUAUCUGUUGCACUAGUAUCAAUGCUGACAUCUCCCAGGAUUCUUAACUCGUUAAGGAUUAUGUGAUACUCUGUGAAUAUGAUGAGAUUAAAAGUCUUUCCCCUGGUAAAUUAUAUCAUUACCUCAGAAUCACAUUUUUGCAUACAGAUAUGUGUACAUUUCUAGAAAUACCAGUCCAUGCAGACAACUGUCGUGCAACUUAAAUGCCUCUAAUUAUUUAAAGACUUUUUUGGGUUUUGGGUUUUUUGUUUGUUUCUUUUACGAAAAGGCUGAGUAAAACCACGGUAGACGCUUAACACCUCAGUUCCAUUGGCCUUCUCAUAAAGUUCUGAAGUGCCUGCCCAUUUGUGCUGGUGAACUUUCAAAUAGAUUCUCAUUUAACACUCAUUUUUCUAUCCCUGUGACUAAAUAGAGAUAUGGAAGAGAAAUCUGUAUGUCCAUUUUUUGCCAGAGACUGCUACAAUCUUACUACGCAAUUAUGCCAGGAAAGGUAGCCCAUACUUACAAGUGUAUGUGCCACUGAACAAUUGCUCAAGUGUGUGUGUGUGUGUGUGUGUGUGUGUGUGUGUGUGUGUGUGUGUGUGUGUGCGCGCGCGCGCUUGUGUUUCUCUCUCUCUCUCUCUCUCUCUCUCUCUCUCUCUCUCUCUCUGUUUAUUCUCUGAGGCAAGCUGGCCCAUUUUUCUAUUGUUUGCUCCUGCAUCUAUCCACCAAAGAAUAAUGUGCUGUAGGAAAUCAGAUUUCCAGUGACUUGGAUGUUCUAGUUUUACUUCCCACAUCUCUGUACCUGAUUUUCAAACAGAAUAGGUUGGUCUUUGUCAUAAACCACAAGGAAUUAUUUUGAAUCCUCUAUAAUAAGUGCUUUGUGACAAAUAGAAACUAGCAGGAAGACCCAUUUCCAUUACUUGCAUUUCAUUAGCGUUUUAGGAGAAUCAAUGACAGCGCAGCUUGUUUCUCUCUUGCCCUGCGUGAUAGUCAAAAGACAAAACAUACUUUUUUGCAUCAUUCUUGUUAAAUAAGAUACAGAGUAGACCUUGCUAUGGAAAAUGACUUAUAGGCUUCUUUCUGGUUCUCGGUGCUCAUUAAAAAUAUACCCUCAAAGACCAUCUUGAUGUAGAAAAAGAACUUUAAAUUUCUUUAGCAACUAUAUUCGGUGUCUAGAAGAUUAUUUGGAAGUUAUAGAAAAUAUACUGCAAAUUAGAGUAAAAUCUCUACGUGUAUUAUAUGCUAUAAAUAUAUUAACUUAAACUCAACAAAAAAUUUUUAAAGAGGCUCCACUACAAAUACUUUUACCCUGUGGUCUGUCAUGCUUGUUCCUUCCUAUAUCCAGCCCAGUGUUGCUGUGAACAUAGUAAAGUUACACUCCCUAAAGUUUUAAAAGACAAUAUAAACCAAAACAAAUCAAGUAAUAUCAUAUGUAAGAAAGCAUGUUAUUGAUGAACUAAGCGAAUUGAAGAUAAUAAAGAAACUGGUGUAUAUUUCUUAGGUCAUUCACGUCAGCCUAUGAGUUCAGCUGGUAACUGUUGUCUGAAGGUGAUAGACCGUCUUCCACCUUUGCAGUCCAUCCAGGGUAGACAUGUUUUUAUAAGACGUGCACUGCAAGUUCAUUUUCGUCUCUGUAUUUGGGGACAUAUCUUCAAUUUCCACAUCCUAAAACAGUGAGGAUUCUUAUCUGUUAGCGUCCCAAGCAAUACUUGAAUUAAUGCAUGUGGAAAGAAAUCUGGAAAUUAACAUUAAUAAGGGUGAUAGUUCCACAUUUCAGCAUGAGAGUCACCAAAACCAAAGCAGUGUGCAGACAUGUUGUGGGGAUUUCCAUAGGUAUCUUCAAUAAUCUCUGUAAUAGAAAUAGUCACCAUAUCCUGAUUGGCAUUAAAAUGAGAUGGCUGUCUUUCACCCAGACAUUACAUAAGGACAUGUUAAAACAAAUCAAGGAAAGGCUACAUAACAUGUGUUGCCUGUAAAAAAGACGGAAAAAGUUUCACAAUGGAUUUUGAGUUAAGAUGUGUAUUUUGUUGGUAAAAAUUGUUUUGGUUUAUCCCGGGGAAUCACAGACAGGUCCUACUGAGAUAACAGGAAGCAUUUCUGAUAAACAGAAGCAAAUCAGCAAGGCACACACAUCCAGCCUGGGGACUGGGAGCAGUUUCACAGCAUCUGUUAGAGGCAAAUGGAACUGGGGAGAGCUUUAGCAAAAAUCCUGCCCUUCGUCCAGAUACCACUGAUAAUGAACACAUAACAAAAAAACGGAUGGUUCAGUUGAAGGCUGCUUCUGGAAAACAUUGCCUGCAGCCAAAGAACAUCUCCUUUUUAAUCCUUAAAAGCAUCUAAGUUGAGCCUCGUGAUCCAUUUGACCAAAACCACUCGCUUCAGGGAUGCAUUAUUCGGAAGUUAGUAUCAAAUACCAAUUUGUCGUACAUUUCCUCUGUUAUGCGAAAACACAAGAUCCUUGGGUUUAAAUACUGAUGGCCAAACUGGUAAUUUAAAAAAAGGGUAACAUUAAGGUAACAAAAUAAAUACAGUACAUGUAUUUAUAUUUUCAGAGACAAAAGACCCUGACCUAUAGAGAAGGUAAAAAUAUUAUAGAGCAAACUGAAUUAUAGACCUGUACAAUAGUGCAAGAUUUGUUCAUGGCCACAACUGUGGCUUUAAAUAUCUCUGAUGCUAUUUUCUUUUUUAUUUUAGGCUAUUAACAAAUUGUGUUUAUAGAAAUUAGUCACAGGGUGGAAUUUACACGGAGGGUAAAUUAUAUUUCUUUGGUUUAGUGAGUCCCUGUGUGCCACCUUCACUUUCACCCUGAGUAUAAAACAGGAGAAUGAGUAACAGUAAGAGACCCAAAGGGAUCAAAGGAGUGCAAUGGGUACACCCACUAGGGGGCUAUAUAAUAUUUCUCCUACUACUGAGAGUCCAUUCACUGCCACAGAGCUGGGGGUUUUUUUGUUUGUUUGUUUGUUUGUUUUUUUUGUUUUUUUGUUUUGCAGCUCUUUUAAGGUGUUUGCUUUUUAGAAUACAACUGUUCAAGUUUUAUCUUGCAAAAUGACUUGUGGGAAGGCUUUUCUAUGUAGGUAUUUCUGCCAUGAUGAAAUAAUACAAGUCAUUGGUUAUUGUUUUUAAAAAUAUUUUGGAUAGAUCUUGCCUUAGUCUCUAUUUGCUAUAACACAAUACUGGAAACCUGUUGUAGUAAUGAAGAGAAAGACCUUAGUUCACUAUUCCAAAGACUGGGAAAUCUGAGACUGACUGAUGGAAGCAAAGUCUUGCUCUGUGAUUUCAGAGAGAGAAGAUGAAGAGAGUCUGUCCAGAGAUUGGAUAGAAGGUGUUUUUUCAUUAGGUCAUGAGGCCAGCACCCCCAUGGAGUCCUCACCCCGUAAACAUCUCACUGUUUACUCUUGUCUUGUAGGCUGUGUUUUCAACGCAUGUACCUGGGUGACAAAAGAUUUGCAGUAUUUAUAUGAAGCUCAAACACUAUACCAUCUAAAGGGAAAAGAACCAGGUCCCUGCAGAUGGCUGCACACUAGUGGAUAAAGCUCUGGAAAUGAAAUAAUCAACUGAGGUGCUCCAGAGGGAGAUGAUGUCCUUUGUAAACAACGAAACACACUGAUACAAAAUGCAGAAGGAUCACAUAGCAUAAAAUUCAGAAAUUCUUUUGGUUAAUUCUAAGCUGAUUUGCAUAUCUAAUUACUAUAUCAAUACAUUUUAUUCUGAUAGACUUUAUAACAUGAUUAUUUCAUCCUUGACUAUAUAUAAAUCAUCACACCGUUGCUUGAUUUCUCCAAUAUGAUUCAGCAGGAAUGUCAAAAAUGCUUGAGCAUUUUAUAUUUCCAGGACUGAAAUGGCCUCGCUACAUUUUUACCUAUGCAAAUAGGUAGCAUAAAAGCUAGUAUAUGGAAAAAAUCUCUGUGACCAUAAAUAAUCUUAAUAAAUAUUAAAAUAACCUAUAGAGUAGUUGUUCUUUACCUUCCUAAUGCUGCAACCCAUUAAUUACAAUUCCUCAUGUUGUGAUGAUCCCCAACCAUAGAAUUAUUUUUGUUGCUACUUCAUAACUGUAAUUUUGCUAUUGUUAUAAAUUGUAAGGUAAAUAGGUUUUCCAGUGGUAUUAGCCAACCCUUGUGAAAGAAAGGGUCAUUCACUCCUCAUAAGUGUCAUGACUCACAGGUUGAGGAUCUCUGCCAUAGUGGAUUUUUUCUAAUAAUCUACAUCCUGAUUCAUUUAAAAUAUAUGAAAUUUCUCUGCUGUUAAAAUGAUUGGGAAAUCAGAAGGAAUUAUCUCCGGUCCGUGGAGUUUCUUUAGCUUAGAUGUACAAGAAAGUCUAAUUCUCAAGCUUUAAGUCAUCUAUCCCAAAUUGAAUAUGUGAUCAAGCUUACUUGAAAAUACCAUGCUGGGUCACUGACUUUGGAAACAAAAAUGGGGAAGGAAGCACCUGAGAGAUAUAAAAAGCAUCUAAUGGAGAAUUUCCUUUCACCUUGCCUAAAAUACUUGGUAAAAGUAUUCUCUCAGUUAAAGCAUAGCAAAUUUAGAAUUUCUUUUGGUAGGCUAUAAUUAAGCUGUAAAACAUAUAAUCUCACAUAAUUUAAUUAAAACUGUACCUAGAGUUUAAAAAUAAAUGAUUUUAUUGUUGGAAAACAUAGAUAAUAGUUUAGGGAUAAUCAAAUUUGAUGCUCAGGACUAUAUUGAUAUAUGAAAAUUAUCUUCUGCCCUUGUAUCAGAAAUAACAGGGAAAACACACUUAAAUUUAUUUAAACUUAAGUGUUUAACUGAGAGUUAUCUUAGUGAAAGUAUAGGUCUCUUGUGGUAAAUAUUAGAAAUAUCCACAAAUUCUUGCUAGCUGUCAUCAUCGAGCCAUAUGACAUUAGCGGGGUAUUUUCAUUUCAGUCAGCAAAGUGUCUCACUUGCUAAGCUCCCAAUCUCUAUCCCACGCUGCCACUGGCUACUGUCUGAGCCCAGCAGCAACCUUUCCAUCCAUCUAGUUCGCAAGGUGGGUCACUGCCAUGUCAGUUUAUACAGAGGCCAUCUAUCUCAUGGCUCUUUUACUGUGUACUCUGCUCACAUUCCAAGCAUCUGCCUCCUAAUGGUUAUAGUAUCAACUCCCAGCAACCUGUUAAAAAUCAAGACCCAUAAGAACAAUAAUACCAACCAAUCAGAGCUCUCAGAGACUAAACCAACAUCCAAGAGUACACAUGGACAGACCCAUGGCUCCAGCUGCAUAUGGAGAAGAGGAUGGCUUUGGUGUGCACCAAUGGGAGGAGAAUCCCUUGGUCCUGCCAAGGCUCAAACUCCCAGUGUAGGAGAAUGUCAAAACGGGGAGGAGGCAGCCGUAACACCCUCAUAGAAGAAAGGGGUGUGGGGGAUGGGAUAGGAGUUUAUGGACGGAAAACCGGGAAAGGGAAUAGAUGACAUUUGAAAUGUAAAUAAAAAAUAUCCAAUAAAAAAAUCAAGACUCAAUAAGCUUGUAGUUUAGCAAUCAGAAACAUAUCAGUAAAUUCAAAACCCACAAACGUCUGCAAAAUAAACUCACAACCAAUCGAUAAUGAUAUAAACCGCCCACCUAGAUAACAUAUAUUCACCUAUAAAAAUCUAUCCCUUAUGAAAUACUCAUAACUACCUGCGACCAUUUAAGGCCACAUGGAUCUGGGUCCUCCUUUCUUUCUCCUGUCUCUCCCCUUACCAAAACUCUUUCCCUGCCUUAUUUUAACUGUCCAAUCAUGGGCUUUGCUCCAUCCUGGCCAUCCCUCACCUGCAUAAAGACAACAAUCCAUAUAGGUCAUUGUUUCUUUAUUCCUUGGUAAGGAAACGUAAUGUUUUAAACAUUUAAAGAUUAGAUAGUUGUCAGUGUGUGAAAGAGAACAAAUCAAAUUUGGAGAUUCUGGACUUCUUUUUCUUUGCAUUAUAAAAUUCGUUACUGAGUUUAUUGUUUCCUAAGAAACAGAAAUAAACCACGCCCAUAAGCAUAUUUCCAGUAAAAGUUCAUGCACACUGAAAGAAUAUUAAUUUACCUCUUGUCACUGCUGCGAUUUCAUUCUAUUGACAUGUGUCGGUUUUCUAUUUAUAUGGCCCAUAUGUUUAUAUGUAUAUUAUAUAUGUAUAUAUAUGCCUAUUGUGUGUGUGUGUGUGUGUGUGUGUGUGUGUUUGUACAAAGAGAGAGGGAUAGAAAGGGAGAGAGAGGGUGGUGGGGAAAGAGGAGGGAGUUGGAGGUGGGGAUUUACCAAAGUAUUAUCACUAUGCAAUAACAAGAAAUUAAUGCAUGCUUGGCUGCUCAUUUUUCUCACUAUGAUAUAAUGAUAUACUUAUAACAUUAUGUGUAUAGAAAAUACCUACACAUUUGCAAAUAUAUACUAUAUAUGCCUUUACCAUAUGAAUUAAGCAAAUAUUUUUCUUAAAGCUUCAUUCCUUAAUAAGCAAUUUCCCUAAAAACUUUUAUUUUAAUUUGUUAUCCAUUAAGUAACUAAAACAAGGAUAAUUUUAAAAACCAACUGGCAGGGUUAAUUGCAGGCUCAUCUUUGUAAAUUUUCCUGUGAAUAGUUUUGCUUUUUAUAUGUUCAAUGGAUUAAGGAACUACUCAUGUCUCAAUUUUAAAAUCAAAAAUACUUUUGAAAUAAAUGAUUUAAGUGAGAGCCAACAUACUGAAGGAGACAGUCAGACUUCAUUAUUAUUGGGUAAAGAUAUUUGCAUGUUUUAAAGGAAGAGGAUUUAUACAUAGAAAUGAUACUUUAUGAAAGAACGUUCAUAUCAUGGGUUAUCUAAAAGAAUUUAUUUUACGGUAACACUGAACCCCAACAUCUUGCUCAUAAUUUUAAAUGAUAAAUCAACAGGGGGUUGAUUUAUGUCAGAGUAUGUGCUCUCUCCCUCCCCUACAAUUUCUGUGCCUAUAAGAAUAGGUUUCUUAUGACCAAUUAAAGCUGUGCAAACAUCUCUAAGGGUGUUUCCAUGGUUUACCACUGGGAAAAAAGUCACCCAUAAUCAUAAGAUAUUUUUGAGAAAUGUAAUUUAGUAUAAUUUCAGUCAAUAUUUAAAACCAUUAUAUAGCAAUCAGAAUAAUCUUAUAUCAAGUACCUAUUGAUAUAUAUAUAUAUGUACAUAUAUAUAUAUAUAUGUUGCUUUUUAUUUUUCCCACCACCCUAAAAUGUAAGAGCUAUUAGCUCAGUUUACAAGAGUGCAAGAGAUAGGACAAACUGCACAGCCACAAAAUGAAUUAUUGUUAGAAAUGGUCACGUCUAUUCUUGAGAUGACGGGGGGAGGGGUGGGGUCAGUUUAGAGUCUACAUGAGUUCACAUCCAAAUCAUUAAGAACAUUUAUAGGUGGCACAAAUUUUCAGUGUUUAUAAUAAUGUUUGUUAUGCUUUGUUUACUUUGUUUUUGCAAAAAGUUUUAAUGCCUAAGCAGAAGUAUCUAAUUAGUGGAUUCUCUCUAUUUUUCCCAGCAAUGUCAAUGUAAUUGUAUAAUGUUUAGCCAAUGGAGCUAUAGAAAGAAUGCAACAAUUGAGCAUCAGAUGUUGUGUGUUUAUAAUUUUAUUAGAUGAUUGCUCUUGAAUUGGCAUGUUAAUAGAGGAAAGAAGGCCGGGGUUUAGAAAAUGAAAAAAUAGGAAGGAAAUUAGCCUAAGUAUGGCUCUCACUUUGGUGUGUAUGUUAUAGGAACAACAUUACAAUGCCCGCAUGUAUGUCCAUACACAUGCAUGCAAAAUAUUGUUUCGGCCUAAAUGAAAAUAAAAACCUGAUAUGUUUAAUCUAGAGAGAAUACACAAACUGGGUAGUAGAGAAAGAAUCACAAAGUUGAGUCUGGUAGAUGGAUUUUCUUGAGGAAGUGCAAUAUACAACUCCAAUCAGAAUAUGAGUUUAGACAAAGGGAGGAGGGAGGAAGUGAUUUAUGUCAGUAUUAAAUAAAGUCUAAAUGAAAGCUUGCGUAUUUAUGCAAACCAUGAAUUCUAGUAAGAUAUGUUGAGUCAAACCAAACAGAUAUGCUGAUGUAUAACUUCAUGUACAAGUGCUCAUACUUUCUGAGACUCAAUAAAGGGGUUAUAGAUACAAGAUGAGACAGUCACCCUUUUUGUGUACUUAGCAUUGGAAGCCUGCAAAAGUUUAGAAUUCCUGGCAUCUUGUGAGUGGAGUAGUUUUAGUCUCUGAUUCUCUGUGAGUCAUAAACAGAGGAAUGAGAGCUAAUCCAAGCUUGCAGAGUAGUGGAAGAACAAUAGCAGAGGUCUCCUGGUCUUUCUUCAUUGUCUUUCCGGUUGACUCCAGUUUUCUCAGUAAGCCAUAAGUAAAGAGUCAGGGAAACAGAACUGUGAUAUGAAUGUCUUAUACAGAAAAUUAGAAAAAAUAUUUCUUUAUCUAUAUCACUCUGGACAUGCAUUUUUCUUAUAUCUUUGGCAUGUGGAAAAUUGGUUUCAUAAUCUCCAGAGGAAAAAUUGCUAAUUUUUGCCUGGAGCAUUCUCUUUGCUGAUUCCUAUCUGAAUAUUUUCAACUCUCAAAUUAAUUUUACCCUAUUUGCUAUGUUGGCUGUAAUGAAUCAUAUUCAGAACCAGCAGAAAGUUAUACAAAAGACUACAGAGGAAAGAAAAACUGCAUCUGUUUUUUUUUUAACUGAUUCUGUUGAUUCUUACCAGGUAGCAUUUUUUUCUAUCUCUUAUUCUCAUUUAUAUGAAAAUCCAGAUAGAAAUGAAAGUAAUAUAUUAGCUGUUUUGGGAGAAAAUGUUAAGUCAAUUAUACUCUUGCAAGAUUUAUAAGAACUAAAGUGAGUUUAAAUUUGAAUUGUCAAAGGAAAUUUUACAUGCAUUAAGCACUCAGAAAACCCAUCAUAUGUUACUUAAUUAUGUACUGGGCUUUGAACUGCUGCAUUUAAAGUAGUAUUUUUAUCCUAAAAAAAUGAGUUUGCUUAGGGAACUGAUUCUAUGCAUCACUAUGCAUUUAAAUUAUACCUGUGGGUAUAAUUCAGAUAGUCAUAUAUGUUGGCAGUGAGAUUUGGAGAAGAGAGUGUGGGUGUUAGACAAUGAAACAAGGAGUUUUCCCCCUUAUAGGCAUCUGCUUUGAAAAGCAACAACAAUUGUCUUGUCUGUCUAAUGCUAGUGCCUUCAACCUCAUAUGUUAAGGUGUUCUGGAUUCUUUGUUAUAACUUAGAAUUUUAAGAAUAUGUACAUGCUGAAUCCCUGAAUAUUGAGCUUUUAUUUCUAAGUAGAAAACAGCUUAUCUCAGAAGAGUAAGUGCUGACCUUUAAAUCUUCCUUUCAACUGAAAUUUUCUUGAAACACAUUAAGCCCACAUUUUUAAAAUGCAAAGCACUGCAGAGAUAGAGAACUAUUCAACGAUAUAGGAGAGGAUCCCGUGUGUGCAUGGUGCAUCAGUAUACGCUCAUAGGGAAAUAUGGACAGAUCACGCACUGUGCUGCAAAUGAAAGUAUGUGGGAGGAAUAUGCAGUCUUAACAAACAUGUCUCUUCAUGCAUGAGAACCCUCACAUUGCUUUGACCCCAGUGACUUCAAUAUUAUUAACGUGGAUCACUUCUCAAGCCUUACUAACAUUUUAAUAUCUGCACUAACAGAAUUAUUUGGAAUGGAAUCAGAUGUUGAGAAUCCCAGCAACAGGCAUCAUACUUCAUACUGUUAUUUUAAAUGAAGAGUGGUAUGUCUGGUAGCCUGAAAAAGUAGCCACAUUUGAAACAAUAUUAGUGUUCGUUUUAUUCUUGUCUAACAAAAAAGUCCUAAAUCCAGAGUCAUAAUAUCACCUGGUCCCAGCCUGAGCUAAAAACCAAAUUGAGGAAGACAAUGCUUUACUUUUUAAGCCAUCAUGGGAGGAUGAACUUAAGAGGUGGAGGCAGCAUGUCUGGAAGGAUCACUUUUACUGUGUGGCCGAUUGUGAAGAUAAAACAAGGAGGAAAAACAUUAAUGAACAAAAGCCAUGGGCUUAUGCAAGGUGCAAGCCCAUACUUGACAAGGCGACUGUCAAGUAUACAGAACCAAGUUAGAUGUUGGUAGCUGAAUAUGUCAUUUGAAUAUCUAGUUUUCACUGGCUUUAUUUUUCGUAACAGUUUUUAAUUUAUACAGUCAAAAUAAUGACUACUUAGGCGACCUAACAUUUAAGAUCAUUAAAUUUGAAUUGAUUCAUAUUUCAUGUGCAUUACUGUUACAUUUUGAUAAAGCUCCAAUAAAAGUUUUAUAUACCUGAAAAUUAUUGAACAAUUGUUAAGAUCAGGACAUAAUUUUUUAAAAUUUGAUACUAGCAUUAGUAUAUUCAAGAGGAAGCUACAGUCUGCAGUAGUACCUUAAGACCAAAUAUUUAUUCAGCUUUCCUUUUUAAAUAUAUGACAUACUAUAUAACCAGUAUCUUUUUCCUUUUUUUCUCCUGUUUUUCUUCAGCAGUGUCUUUUUAUUGUAAUAAUUGUGCAUUCUAGGAGAUACCACACAAUUUAUGCGCCUCUUUUCUGAUGUGUUCAUGUAGUUUACACACACACACAUAUACAUUUAUUGAUAUAUAUUUAUAUAUAAUUAUAACAUAAUUUAUGUAAUUAAACAUGUAGACAAUGUUGAAGAGACAUUUUAUUUAUUUUUCAAUACAACCUCUGGAAAUUUCUAUGUAGUCAUUUUGAUUCUAUAAGUAUUGCCAUCGCUAGUUAUACGUUAUGCUAUUUCCUUUUAGAAAACAGUUUACUUAGUCUUCUUAGACUCAAUAUUCUGACUGUACUGUAUAAUUUCAACUGUAUAUUUAGAAUAUUUUCCAGCAUAUUGCUUUGCAUGUUUCAUUGUCACUUGUCAACAUUUACAUGUUCUAGUAUGAUAUGAGCUUUGCUGUGAAAUCAUCAACUUCUGCUUCUUGUUCUACCAGAGCACAGGAUGACUCAAGUUGGUAGAUUAUUUGCACACCAUGCACAAAGCCUUUGGGUUGAUCUUCCAUCAAUGCAUAAGCUGUGCAUGGCAGUUCAUACCACUGAUCCUAGCCCUUGGGUGUGAGCAAGACUCAAAUCUUAGCAACCAGAUUAAAAAUUCUCAGUCCCCUUUAGCUACAGGCUGAGUUAGAGGACAAAAAAAGGAAAGGACCACUAUGCAGUCUCAAAACAAACAAAAAGCUACUGUGAGCAUUUGACAACAUGAUCUGUGGGAGCUUUAGAGAAGGUGUAUUAUCUCUAAUGGUGUUAAGUUAUACUGUGUGACAGACACAGUUAAAACAAGUGACUAUAAAAGCAUCCAGCUAUCCCUUAUGUAUGCCAUCGUUUGGCCAUUUUAACUUACAUUAGAAAGGAAAAUCAGCCUUUUCUUAUAGGUAAAUGGUACAAUAUUUGAGUGAAUGAGUGUAUAGUGCCUCUUGACACAAUAUUAUCAUCUAACACAGCAUUGUUGUUUUUCAAGAAAAUGUUAUGCUUUUUUGCAUUAUAAUACAUUGUCAUGCACUCUGUGUUCUCACACUAUUUUAAGCAACUACUUAUAAUGAUUUUAAUUUGCAAGACUGUGUGGCUAAUAAGCUUUCUGUUUAAAAUCCUCACACUGAGCUUUCUAAGAGGACGUGGUCUACAUAUAAAAUCGUUGCAGAAGCAUCUGAACUAUAGGCAGAGAUACAUUACGAGCUGCCGUGACUGUGUUUUUUGUGGCUGCCUAGUUAGCUGUUGCUGGAACAGCUGAAGUAUGAGCUUACUGAUCCACUAAAGCCAGCUCAAACAAGAAGUACACCAACCUCAGUGGGACAUCAAACUCAUAUACAGAGUUGAGUUGAAAAAAUCUGCUUGGAAACGUGUUCAUGGGGUGGGAAUGCUACUUAAUGUAAAGACACAAGUUAGUCUUCAUAAACACAUGACAGUUUCUUUGAAGUAUUCCAAAACGUUCCUUCGAAUGUAAUAAAAUGGAAAAGUGCACCUUUUAGCUUAAGUGAUUAUUUUUAUAAUUAUAAAUGGUAUGGAUAAUAAAUUUGCUUGUUGAAAAUAUACAAUUCAAAAUAUAACUUGGAGACACUCUUACUGAACAUUUAUCAUACAUCAAGUAUUUCAUUUUUAAUAGUGUGUAUGUUAAUAUACAGCUAAUGAGUCAUUUAUAUGUAAUAAUUGAAUUUUAUUACAUUAAAUUAUAUCUUAAAUCUAACAUAUAUUUAACUCAUGUGCAUAUGAAUGACUACAAUAAAUAUAUUAUAGUUAAAAAAUGUAUAUGGCUGAUCCUGAAGAAUCAAGAUUGUCUAUUUGGAGCUAAGUACAAAAAACUUGAAUAAACAUCUCAAAUAUAUUUAACUAUGCGUAGUUGUUGAGCAGGAGAAAUUGAAACUCCCUGAAUACAGUCCCUUUCUUACAUCUUUAUUUUCUGGAAGUUCUUGCUCCAAUCUGGGGAAAAGACAGACCCCCUCCAUGAAAAAGUCAACCUCACUAGUUCAGAAUCUUUGGCAAGUACUACUAUAUGUGUAAAUAUGUUAAACACAAAGACCUAAGGCAUACAAGUAGAGAAGCAUCAAGUUCAUUCUGUGGAUUUAUGCCAAGAAAAUAACCUACAUAUUUAAUUUAAAUGCUAUAAUUUAUUUCCUGCACAUGCGUGUGUGUGUGUGUGUGUGUGUGUGUGUGUGUGUGUGUGUGUAUGUUUAGGGUGUAUACAUGUGUGUAUGUGGAAGUCAGAAGAUAGCAUUCAGUGUCUUCCGUUAUUUCUUUCCACUCAUACUGUUUGAGACAUUGCCCAUAUUCAGUCUCUCUGAACAUAGGACAUCACAUUCCAGAAAGAUUUUCUGGAUGUUCCAAGUUCUGUCUCUGCCUCUUUGCCCCUCCUCCUGCACACCCCCACCCCCCACACACAGACACGCACAUGCGCGCGCGCACACACACAUACACACACACACACAUACACACACACACACACACACACACACACACACACACACACACACACACACCGUGAACGAUGCCCUGCCUAGAGUUUAUAGGCUGCAAGUGAACCAAGUUCAAGUCCCUAGCUAUACAGCAAGCACCAAUGGGCCAUCAGUCCAGUCUCUGUGGUUGUUUUCUUUAAAUAACAACUAAAUAGAAGGGAGAAAAACAAAAUAUGCUUAUUGCAAUCACUAAUUUCCUGCUUGAAAGUCGUUCAUUGCAUAUCUGAAAUUGCCCAGUCUGUCUUGUCCCAUUCUCGUCCUCCUGUGUCCAUGUGGGGAGAUGAUAUUCAUGGUUAAAGGAAUUUGCUGAUAUAUCCUAAAUUUCUGAUCAAAAAUCCCCUUAAAAGUUGUGGUGAAUUUGUUUUCUGUUUCUUGAGCUUAUGGUCUGCUGCGCACUGGGGUUAUAUUACCUAAGAAUAUAACAGCUUUAGGUAGAUACAAAAUUGUUAGGACGGAGAUAGAAAGGAGGCUUAUUUUCUGCUUCUCUAGAUGGAAAAAAAAAACACUUCCUGGUUAGUUUCCAGGCUAAUAGUUCUUAGCAUUGUCUCUAGGCUCCACCCCAAACCGUAGUUAUUUGGCAAUAGCCAGGUAGGCUCCGCCCCACAGUUACCUGGCAACAGCCAGGCAAGCCUGACACUAUAAAGGGGGCAGCUAGCCCUGCCUCUAUCUUGCUCCCUUUUGUUCUCUCUUGCUAUCUUGCUCUCCUGCUCUUGCCCCCUUCCUCCUUUGUCCUCUCUCUCCCCCUUCCCCUCCUUCGCUUCUCUACACAUGCUCAUGGCCAGCCUCUCUCUCUCUUUCUCUCUCUCUCUCUCUCUCUCUCUCUCUCUCUCUCUCUCUCUCUCUCUCUCUUUCUCUCCAAUAGUAGAUCAGCAUUUGGGCCAAAAUAUGUAUUUCAUGAUACUAACAUUUUAUCAGAAUGAUAAUAUAAUACUUCCUGGUCACAAGAGAUUGGGACUUGAUUAUUCAUUUCAAGUCAAUUUUCAAGAAAAUUGCUUCACUUUAUAUACAGACAGAAUUACCCAAGCAAUAGUUCUGUAAGCGCUGGAGGACACAAGGAAUCCCAUGAAUACGCGUAUGAUAGACUAUAACUGAAGACUAAAUGGUAAUAAAUUUC
Molecule: non-coding RNA, 54962 nt
Organism: Rattus norvegicus (Norway rat)
Lineage: Eukaryota; Metazoa; Chordata; Mammalia; Rodentia; Muridae
Source: RefSeq, a predicted model, not a curated record